RNAcentral lists this long non-coding RNA (83418 nucleotides) under Lactuca sativa (garden lettuce). RNAcentral describes it as "long non-coding RNA (LSAT_LNC004963)". The record is from RNAcentral. Lineage: Eukaryota; Viridiplantae; Streptophyta; Magnoliopsida; Asterales; Asteraceae.
CCACGUGAUCCUUGCAUGCAUAGCACGUGUGCAACACGCGUGUCGCUUGCUGAUUGGACCGACGGUGCGUUCCAAUGAUCUUCCGACGCCUUGCUUCUGACUCAUCAUCCGAGCCUCGCUGGCCCAACCCGAAGGCGCCGCGUGUCCUUCGCGUGUCCAAACCCUCGCAUACGUGUCCGAAGCUCCUGCUGCCGCGUGUCUCGCCUGAUGACUCCUCUUCUAAGCCGACUUCGGAUCUCACCCUAUAAAUAGAGGGCUUGCGAGAUCUUCCCGCUACUUUUGGAAAAUGGCCAUUUUCACCCCUUUUUAAAUAUUUUAGCCAUUUUUGCUUCCCCCGAUCCCCCGAGAUCAUUUCCAACGCCCAGAACAUGUCCCAGAGUGCCCGAAGGAUCGGAAAAAUUAUUUUUUCGGUUUUGAAGCCUGACCUUUCGCAGAGCCCGGUUUCUCAAUAAAACUCUCGAUUUUAUUAGAAACGAUCGUUUUAGGAAAUGAAUUGUUGCCCGAUUUUCAUUAAAUCAAGUGAGUGUAUAGUCACUUUCACCUUACACAUAGAUAUGAAGUAUUUACCUUAAAAUACGUGUUAUGUGUAAAUAUAUUAAUUGUUUAUUUAAAGUGACUGUUGAAUUGAUAUUUUAUACAAUUUUUACACUGUAUAUAUAUUUUUAUCUACAAAUAUGUUGGGUAAAACAUGGGUAGAUGAAUUAGAUGAUGUGUGACGUAAUAAAAGUGUUGAGAGGUAUCGAUGUUAAAAUGAUCUAGUCAUCUAGCAAAGUAUAGACAACGGCUGCAGACUAUUUUAGAUAGCCCAGUGGAACGUUAGUAGACUUGUAAUAGGUACGUAUGUUUGAACUAUAUGUUCAUUAGGUACUUUUGAACUAUGUGUUCAUCCAUUAGUUCUUCCUUUUGACACUAUUAUGUGUCGGGGUACGGGAGCGUACAGGAGUACUUUAUCAGUAUUUUCCCUAUACUUUUUGUUGGGUCGUGUUUUGUAUAAUAUGUUGCAUCUAUUGGGCUCGUUAGCUAGUCCAUUUUUGUAUCUCCGGUAUGGGCCUGUCCAUCCGUGAGUUUAGUAGAGUUGAAUAUAAAUAUAGGUGCUUGCAUGCAUCUUAGGUUAACGAUAGAAUAGAACGAUCAAAGCAUUAUUAAGAAGUUUAUUAUUAUCGUUCUUGUAACCCUAAAUCCUCUACAGCGGAAGUUCUUAGUCGAGCUCUGCUGAGGAUUGUUUGAUCUAAUCAUUUGACAUAUUUUGAUCCACUCUUGUCUUAUUUAUUGUUUUGUGUUCAUCGCAAUACCUGUUACAAAGAUCUAAUCGAUCUUCACGUUUGUUAUUAUAACUUAACAAUUGGUAUCAGAGCAGGAGGCUGUGUAAUUCAUACACAUCUUUUCUGUGAAAAAGGUUGCGAUUAGGGUUAUUCCGCAUUAACUAAUAUUUAUUGAGCCGUCAUCCCAUAAUUGACAUAACUCAGCAUUUAUUCGUUUUUCCCUAAUUUAAUAUAUUACAAGUCUGAUCUUUUAAACAGGUUAUUCGAUCUAGCAUGGACGAGUCACAAUCAAAUCCCAUUAACAUCUCAAACAGCAUUGGAUCAACGAUGAAGAUUCCCAUCCUUUAUACCUAGGAUUACGAAGUCUGGGCACAUCACUUUGAAGAUUAUGUCAUUGGAUCUGAGGACAACGGAUAUCUUAUUUGGGAAGCAAUCGUGUCUGGACCAUUCGCUCAUUCAGCAACAUCAAGAAUCAUUAAAACUCAGAAAGAGUAUAAUGAUCUGUUGAAAGAUGUAAAAGAUAUUGCCCAAGACGAAAAAGAUAAAUUUCAGUGCAAUAUUAAAGCAUUGAGACUAAUCAGAUUCGCUCUUCAAUCUGAUACUUUCAGGCUAGUGAGUUCGUGCAGCACUGCUAAAGAAAUAUGGGAUAGGCUGCGAGAGUUAUAUUCCACAGACGAAGAUCUCGAGCAUUCCAUUCAAACCUUACUUUUGUCCGAGUUUGGUGAAUUCAAGCAGAGUCCUGAAGAAACUGUAACUCAGACGUUCGAUCGCUUCAAUCAUCUUCUUAGUAAGAUGAUUAAACAUGAUAUUGAAAGGAAGUUGAUUGAACAAAAGGUUACGUUUUUAAACGGUCUUAGAUCUGAGUGGAGAGCGGUUGUGUCCACUGUUAAAGCACAUGAGCAAUUCAAAUCUUACUCAUUGGCAAAGCUGGUAGGGAUUUUGAAAUCCCAAGAAAAGAUUGUCUUGCAGGAGAAAAAUGUAGUUUCAAGCUUGGGAUCAUUGGCCCUUCUGUCCAAAAGCAAAGGUGUGAUGGAAGAUGAAGACCUUAACUUAGAGGACUAUGACCUUACCUCUGAAGACUAUGCAAUGAUGGUGUCAAACCCGAAGAGGUUCAUCAAGAAAAGGUUUCCUACCAAUAAGAACCGAAAUUGGCAGGGAAGUUAUAGUUCUGAAAAGGUCAGGGAAGAACCGAAGGCAGAAGAACCAAAGAAGGAACCGAAAGCUGAAGGAGAUUCGGGUGUGAACUGCUACUAUUGUGGAGGAAAGAACCACUAUGCCAAAGAUUGUGUCCUCAAGAAAAUGGCAGAAAAGGAUGAGGAGAAAGAUGAAGAAGCUAUGUUAAUGAAAAAGCUGGAAGAGAUCAAGAAAAAGAAAGCUGUCACUAACCCUUCAAUGAAUGCUUUAAUUGUGCAGGGUUCGGUAGCAGAUGAUGAGUUCGGUGGCGUGGAGGUCUGGUCAACCGACUCUGAGGAUGAUGAAGUCAGAAAGCCAUCUCAUGGAAAGGCUUAUGUUGCGAAAGGUGAAGGAAGCGGUGGAAAGUGUUUGAUGGUGUCGGAUGUAUCUCAAAUGAGGGGAUACAACACAGACGGUGGGAAUGAAGACACGAAGGAGCGAGAGGACUUGUGCUUCACAGCAAAACCUCUCAGCGUGCAGUUUAAUGAGCUUGAUGAAUUAAUCAAGAAGGUACAAUCCAUUUUUGUUUCAUUCAAAGUCCCACAAAAUUCAUAUGAAAAAGAAUUAAAAAAUGUAAAUUCAAGAAUCUCUCAUCUAGACAGCAGUUUAACUCAAACACGGGUCACCAAUUCUAACCUAACUGACCAAUUAAGCAGGGUGUCUUCAAAGAGUGAGGAACGGAGGAUGUGGAUCGAGCUGAAGGAGUCGGAGUUAAUCAAAUCCAAGGACGAAAACAUUUAUUUACAAAGAGACAAUUUGAAACUUUUAAAACAGAGAAAUGUCUUUUGUUUAAUUGCUAAGCGUCUUUACACUAAUAUCACUCAACUUCAUUUGAACUGUGAAAUAGGGCAGAAAAUUCAUCGCAUGAUUUUGCCCUUCCUUGAGUUUAAGGAAGAUGAAAUUGACGCAGAAGCAUAUAAUUGCGAAAGUGUAGUUUCGUCUGAGGAUGUAAAUCCGACGUAUAUGUAUGGUCUAGACAAAAUCGAAUCUUUCAUAAAGUCCAAGGACCAUAAGGACAUGCUGAAAAAUCUUUUGGAUGAAAAUGACAAACUGAAACUAAGGACCGAAACCAUACAAAAGUUUGACUCAUUGAAUGCCAACUUGAGCUCAGAAAAUAAAAUUGAUGUUGAAAAUGCAUCUGAGCUUAAUGAGGAUGAUGAUAUGAGUGAAAUUUCUGUAGAGGAUGUAGUUGACUGUUCUGAGUUUGUCAAGAGCGAACCCGAAAACCACAAAAAUCUUAUUUCAGAAAAUUCUGUGGAGUUUGCUCGUUUGUCCCACCAAAAGUCCCCGAUCCUUGAAGAAAAAGCUGUUGUAUACCAAAAGGUAAGGACGACUCCAAAUCAGGUAUAUAAGGUCACAGGAGUAACCGAACAUCAGACAGCCGAACUCACAUCCAUUGUAAAUGAAGAUAAUGCUGAUGGCUGUGAUGAGUUCUUCUGGUCUGCCCCUAUCGACAAUGCUGAUGAAACCGUUGGUUUGUCGGAACGGACAUCCUGGAAAACCAAAGGCAGAUAUGUACCAGAGCCUUUGAAUAAGCCUGAUAACUUUGACAUGCCAAGUACUAGUGGUACAAAAGAUGUUCCUGAAGAAAAAGGAGAUCCUGCAAAAGAAGUCACUCCUUCAAGCGAAACUUCAUCAGUUCAGUGUGAACCGGCUGACAAAAAGCAAAAGCAAAAUGCAAAUAUCCAUUGACAGCCGAAGCAAGUGAAAAAUCAGAAGCAGCAAAGGAAUAUAAGAUACAAGAAGAAUCUCUCUGAACGAAAACAGUUUUGGCAAUCUCAAAACGCCCACUUCUCUUAUCAUGACAGAAAUUCGAAGUCAGAGAAAAGUACUGUUAGAUCGCAAGAAAAUAAUAACAACCGAAGGGAGAGGUUCGGUUCUGAGGGUAAUAACAACCGAAAGGAUACGUUCGGUUCUGAAAAUUAUGAUAACCGAAGGCAAAGGUUCGGUUCAGAAAACACAAGCUACCGAAAGCAUAAGUUCGGUUCUGAGAGCAAAAGCAACCAAAGUUCUAGGUUCGGUACCACUAAUGAUCAAAAACAAAAGGGUCACUUAGAACCUCAAGUCAAGAAAACAUCUCAGUCUAAAUUCUCUCGUUCUACUUCUUCUAAUUCUUCUAAUUCCUCUCAACCACAUUCUAAAUUCAAUUCUGUUCGCACUCAAAAACCUAAAUCUUCAACAGAUCUGAAAGGAAAAUCGAAGGUUUCUUCAGUCGAAACAAAUCAAAAUCAUCCCAAAAUCAAAAUACCUAAACCAGAAUCCAAACCGAAAGCAACAAAUCCCAAUAAAAUUAAGGUUUUCACCAUUAAAAAGAAAGAUGAAACAACUUUAAUAAAAAGAACAUAUCUUGUUGACAUCUCUCUUACUAUUCCUGUUCCUGUGAAAGGCUCACGUGGACCCAAGAAACUUUGGGUUCCUAAAUCUGCUUAAUUUUUGCAGGUUAUCAGUGACGAGCAGUUUGACGAAGAAUGGUAUAUUGACAGUGGCUGCUCACGUCACAUGACAGGAAGGAAGGAAGAGCUGAGGGAAUUUCGGUCUCUUUCAAACGGUGGAAAUGUCAAGUUCGGGAACAACUCAUUCGGCACGAUAAAAGGCUAUGGAAUGAUAACAAAUGGAGAUUUCACAAUCAGAAAGGUUGCAUACGUUGAAGGACUGCAGCACAACCUCAUUAGUGUAUCUCAGCUUGUUGGAGGUACCGGUCUCAAGGUCUCUUUCGACGAUGAGGGUUCAGAGAUAAUUGAAAAGAAAACAAAAAGAGUAAUUCUCAAAUCGGAGCGCAAAGGCGAAAUGUUUCCCCUGAAUCUCAAACCCAUCAAAGGAAAUCCAGCUAUCUGCCUGUUAUCCAAAGCACAAUCUGACGAAAGCUGGCUGUGGCACCGAAGGCUCUCUCAUCUCAACUUCAAGGAUAUCAACAAACUUGUCACAGGUGGUCAUGUUCGAGGUCUUCCAUUGCUCAAAUUCGAUCGAGAACAUUUAUGUGCUGCGUGUGAAAUGGGGAAGCAGAGUCGUCAAAGUCACCCAUCGAUUGUAAACACUAAAGUUGUUGAACCACUAGAGUUAAUUCACAUUGACUUGUGUGGUCCAUCAUCUAUCGAAAGCAUCGGCGGUAGCAAGUAUAUUCUUGUCAUUGUUGAUGACUUUUCACGUUUUACAUGGGUGUUCUUUCUGAAGCACAAAUCUGAAGCAACUCUCAAGCUAAAGAUGUUUAUCAAGCAGGUUGAAGUGCAGCUGAGGAAAGUCGUUCGCAACAUCAGGAGCGACAAUGGGCUGGAGUUCAAAAAUAAAGAAUUCGAAGACUUCUUGGCAGAAAAAGGAACCAGUCACAACUUCUCAGCUCCCUACACCCCUCAACAAAACGGGAUUGUCGAAAGACGAAACCGAUCUUUGUGUGAGGCGGCCCGAACCAUGCUAAGUUUUGCUUCUUUACCUUUAUAUUUUUGGGCUGAUGCUAUUGCUGCAGCAUGUUUUACGCAGAACAGGUCCUAUCUCAAUAAACGCUUUAAUCUCACUCCUUAUGAGAUCAUCAACAACAGGAAGCCAAAUGUCAAAUUCUUCCACGUAUUCGGCUCACGGUGUUUCAUCUUCAACUCUAAAGAACAUCGUAACAAGUUCGACGUCAAAGCCGAUGAAGGGAUUUUCCUGGGAUAUUCUCUCACUUCGAAAGCCUAUCGAGUAUUAAACAAGCGUUCGAGGAAGAUAGAAGAAACUUAUUAUGUGACUUUUGAUGAUAGCUAUGUCAAAAAGCUGAAGGCCAGUGAAGACACAGUUGGAGAAAUUUUUUCUCAAACAGGCCAAGUCACAGCCUCGAUUGCAAAUCUGUUUGAGAAGUUUGUUGAGUUAUUCGAUGAACCAGAGAAGGCUACUCUCUCGGAAGCUAGUGCAGCAGACAACAAAGUAGAUCAUCUGAAGCAACUCAUCGAAGAUGCUGCCAAGCAAAUGAAUGAAGGAGGAUCAAGUCCAAACGACCCGCCACAACACGGUGCUUCAGUUGAGGGGGAGGAUCCACCUUCUUCAACACAGCCGGGCUCACAUGUUGAGGGGGAGAACUGUUCUUCAGCUGCUCCCGAAAGCCAAUCUGCACCCGAAAGUCCUGUGGUACCCGAAAGCUCAAAAACACCCAAAGGUACUGCAACACCCGAAAGCUCAACACCACCCGAAACUCCUGUAGCUCCGGAAAGUCAAGAUACACCUGAAAGCUCAUCUGUCGAGGGGGAGAAUGCCGAUAUGUCUUAUGACGAUGAUAGUCAAUCUGAACUAGAAGAGAUGGUAAAUGCUGAAUUGGAUCCAUCCUAUGAUCCAAAUUACCCUCCUCUUGUCAAAUGGACCAGAGAUCAUCCUGUUUCACAGGUUGUCGGUAAUGUCUCUGAAAAGGUCCUGACCCGAUCUCAACUAAAGGCAAAGCAAACUUCCUUAUUUUCAAAAGUAGAGUUCUGUAUGUUUAACUCCUUCGUCUCAAAAGUUGAACCAAAGACAGUUAACACUGCUCUUGAUCACUCCGAUUGGGUUCAAGCUAUGCAAGACGAACUUAAUGAAUUCGAAAGAAAUAAAGUUUGGCGCCUCAUUCCAACUCCUCAAGAUGCCUCGGUUGUUGGUCUCAAAUGGGUCUUUAGAAAUAAAAUGGACAAGGAAGGCAAUGUGAUAAGAAACAAAGCUCGUCUAGUGGUGAAAGGAUACUGCCAGGAGGAAGGAAUCGACUAUGAGGAAACUUUUGCUCCUGUAGCUAGGCUGGAAUCUGUUCGAAUAUUUCUUGCCUAUGUUGCACACAAGAACUUUGAGGUCUACCAAAUGGACGUAAAGUGUGCAUUUCUAAAUGGAGAGCUCGAAGAAACGGUGUACGUGGAGCAACCUCCUGGAUUCGUCAAUGAAAAAUACCCCAAUCACUGUUAUAUUCUGGACAAAGCGGUAUAUGGACUGAAACAAGCACCGAGGGCCUGGUAUGAAACGCUAACCAAGUUUUUAAAGAUGUCCAAAUUCAAACAAGGUUCGGUUGACCCAACCUUCUUUCGUAAGAAGGAAGGUAACCACCUUAUGAUUGUUCAAAUCUAUGUCGAUGAUAUCAUCUUUGGCUCAACGAAUCCUAGCUUAACGGCUGAAUUCAGAAAGCUGAUGGAGACUAAAUUUGAAAUGAGCUCAAUGGGUCCAAUUAACUUUUUCCUUGGUUUAAAUAUUAGACAGGGACCCGAAGGCAUCUUUAUUAACCAGGAAGCUUACACAAAGACUCUCCUUGCUAAAUUUGGCAUGAUGGGAGACUCAAAGGUUAAAGUUCCAAUGGCGUUCGGACCAAGCUCACUCCAUCCUUGGAUAAGCCAGCAGUCGACAUUACGCUAUAUCGCCAAAUGAUCGGUUCUUUAAUGUACCUUACUGCUAGCAGGCCUGAUAUAAUGUUUUCUGUUUGUUACUGUGCUAGAUUUCAGGCAAAUCCCCGUGAACCUCACAUGCUUGCAGUGAAGAACAUACUCCGGUAUCUCAAGCGAACUACCUCUCUCGGCUUAUGGUAUCCAUCCAACUCAGGUUUCUUCGUUCAAGCCUAUUCAGAUGCAGACAUUGGAGGUUGUGGACUAGACAGGAAAAGCACCACUGGAGGCUGCCAAUUCCUUGACGGGAAGUUGGUUAGUUGGCAAUCAAAGAAACAGACCUGUGUGUCUCUGUCUACCGCUGAGGCAGAAUACAUCGCAGCUGCCUCUUGUACUUCUCAAGUUAUUUGGAUCCAAAGCCAAGUCAGGGACUAUAGACUCAAUAUGAAAAAGAUCCCACUAUAUUGCGACUCUGAAUGUGCAAUUAGGAUCUGUCAUAACCCAGUGCAACACUCGAAGACGAAGCACAUAGCACUGAGGUAUCACUUCAUUAAGGAUCAUGUGGAAGAUGGGAACGUCGAAAUACACUUUGUUCGAACCACUGAUCAACUGGCUGACAUCUUCACCAAAGCUCUUCCUGAAGCAUCUUUUAACAAAAUACUACAAGGGCUAGGUAUGAUGGAAUCAGAGUCAGUACCAAAAAUUACCUCUUAAAGCUCAAAAGCAAGAAGCGAAAUAGACCGAACGUUCGGGUUCGGGUCUUGUGCUAAUGUACCGAAAUGAACCGAACGCUCGGGUUCGGUUGCAUUAUCUGCUUUUCGCUCAUCACUCAAAGGUAGUUUCCUUGGUUGUAGAUCUUAUGUAUAAAUUUUCCAUAUUCGUUUCUCUUAUUGUCAAAGUUAUUCUCUUUUUCAAAUCUAUUUUCUUUGGCGACCGAAAUCAACCGAUCGUUUGGGUUCGGUUCCAAAAUUUUUCUCACCCGAAAUAGACCGAACGCUCGAGUUCGGUUCCAAAGUUUUUCUCAACCGAAAUAGACCGAACGCUCGGGUUCGGUUCCCAAAUUUUUUUUUGUGUGUCUUCAUUUUUUUUAUUAUCAAAAAUUACAAAAAUAUUUUUUUCUUUCAUAAAUUCAAAAACUCCUACAAUAUUUUUUUACCUUGACUUUCAUUUUUUUAUUUUAUUUUUCUUUAUUCAUUUUUUUUGUGUGGGUAUAUAAUUUCAUUAGCUAAGUGUCCCUAGAAGCAUGCUGCUGUAUGUGUCCAAAGCCUCACCUGAUUCUGAAUAAUAGGCCUUACUGACUUGGUAUAAACAAACCUUGUCUUCCCAAUUAGGCUUUCUUAUUUAUUCUAAUCAUGAGCUACCUAACUCUCUUCUCACAUGAGAUAUGAGUUUUCUGCUUGGUCCUAAUCUUUAUAGCAGAGGUACUUUGAUUUCUUUACACCAUCUAUGUUGCAUUUCUCCAUCACAUUCGCUUCACAAACGUAACCCUUGAGACUCUCAGAAAUUACCACUGAGGUUUAUGGUUGCACAAUUUCUGUGUUCAUGAUCUUAGCUUCGUGUCACUACGUGCUAAGUGAAACCCAAAAUUCAAUACCCAUUAUGCAUUGACGGUGAACAAUUAAUUUGCUCAAGCUUUCACUAAUGAAUUGACGAAGGUACCACAUGAAAUCUCUAAUUUUCUUUUGAGUGAUUCCUAUGAAAUUGUUAACACCCAUAACAUUUCUUCCCUUGGAAUCCAGUUUUAAUUUUUGUUGAGAUUUUAUAAAUUUCCUAGCCAAAUUAACAUUAUCUCCAACCUACUUGUUCAACAGACUACACCGGUCUCACAAGUACUUCGUUCGAUUUCUGUCUUAUAUCAAGAUUAGGAAUUUUGAAUCGAAGCGAUAUCCACCCUCAUAAGCCUAAUUAAAAGAAGCCUUUCAACACUUCUUAAUAAGUGUCUGAUCGUUAUUCAACGGGAAACCACACAAACACUUUAAAGUCUCUCUUGACUUUGAAGGAAGAGAUUCGUGCCCGGGAUCAUUUGUUUCGUGUCUUUAUUGACAUCACAUAUUUUCCCAAAAGUGUUGCUUUAUUUCUUUUCUUUUACACCCUAAGCACGAAAAUCUUUGAUUUUCCAAAAUUCAGGUUCUAUUAAUUACAAGGCAUUUUAAAUGGAUUGGUGAUUUAUUAAAGGAUGUGGUAAAUAUUGAUCCACGUGGGCGAAUUUUUUUUUAAANNNNNNNNNNNNNNNNNNNNNNNNNNNNNNNNNNNNNNNNNNNNNNNNNNNNNNNNNNNNNNNNNNNNNNNNNNNNNNNNNNNNNNNNNNNNNNNNNNNNNNNNNNNNNNNNNNNNNNNNNNNNNNNNNNNNNNNNNNNNNNNNNNNNNNNNNNNNNNNNNNNNNNNNNNNNNNNNNNNNNNNNNNNNNNNNNNNNNNNNNNNNNNNNNNNNNNNNNNNNNNNNNNNNNNNNNNNNNNNNNNNNNNNNNNNNNNNNNNNNNNNNNNNNNNNNNNNNNNNNNNNNNNNNNNNNNNNNNNNNNNNNNNNNNNNNNNNNNNNNNNNNNNNNNNNNNNNNNNNNNNNNNNNNNNNNNNNNNNNNNNNNNNNNNNNNNNNNNNNNNNNNNNNNNNNNNNNNNNNNNNNNNNNNNNNNNNNNNNNNNNNNNNNNNNNNNNNNNNNNNNNNNNNNNNNNNNNNNNNNNNNNNNNNNNNNNNNNNNNNNNNNNNNNNNNNNNNNNNNNNNNNNNNNNNNNNNNNNNNNNNNNNNNNNNNNNNNNNNNNNNNNNNNNNNNNNNNNNNNNNNNNNNNNNNNNNNNNNNNNNNNNNNNNNNNNNNNNNNNNNNNNNNNNNNNNNNNNNNNNNNNNNNNNNNNNNNNNNNNNNNNNNNNNNNNNNNNNNNNNNNNNNNNNNNNNNNNNNNNNNNNNNNNNNNNNNNNNNNNNNNNNNNNNNNNNNNNNNNNNNNNNNNNNNNNNNNNNNNNNNNNNNNNNNNNNNNNNNNNNNNNNNNNNNNNNNNNNNNNNNNNNNNNNNNNNNNNNNNNNNNNNNNNNNNNNNNNNNNNNNNNNNNNNNNNNNNNNNNNNNNNNNNNNNNNNNNNNNNNNNNNNNNNNNNNNNNNNNNNNNNNNNNNNNNNNNNNNNNNNNNNNNNNNNNNNNNNNNNNNNNNNNNNNNNNNNNNNNNNNNNNNNNNNNNNNNNNNNNNNNNNNNNNNNNNNNNNNNNNNNNNNNNNNNNNNNNNNNNNNNNNNNNNNNNNNNNNNNNNNNNNNNNNNNNNNNNNNNNNNNNNNNNNNNNNNNNNNNNNNNNNNNNNNNNNNNNNNNNNNNNNNNNNNNNNNNNNNNNNNNNNNNNNNNNNNNNNNNNNNNNNNNNNNNNNNNNNNNNNNNNNNNNNNNNNNNNNNNNNNNNNNNNNNNNNNNNNNNNNNNNNNNNNNNNNNNNNNNNNNNNNNNNNNNNNNNNNNNNNNNNNNNNNNNNNNNNNNNNNNNNNNNNNNNNNNNNNNNNNNNNNNNNNNNNNNNNNNNNNNNNNNNNNNNNNNNNNNNNNNNNNNNNNNNNNNNNNNNNNNNNNNNNNNNNNNNNNNNNNNNNNNNNNNNNNNNNNNNNNNNNNNNNNNNNNNNNNNNNNNNNNNNNNNNNNNNNNNNNNNNNNNNNNNNNNNNNNNNNNNNNNNNNNNNNNNNNNNNNNNNNNNNNNNNNNNNNNNNNNNNNNNNNNNNNNNNNNNNNNNNNNNNNNNNNNNNNNNNNNNNNNNNNUAUUUCUCUCCAUAAUGUAUGGUAUCUACAAUGGCAUCAACAUGGAUUAUGGGUCUGUUCUAUGGCAACAACUCAUCCAGAGUCUCUCCUCUACCUCCAGACAUUCAGAGAUUUCGUAUGCUAGGUUCUGGACUCUUAUCACGAAAUGGGUGAUGGACAAGUACCACGUCCCCAUUGUCGCUGGUGCUCCAAUGUCUUCGAUUGGUACCUUCCAUACCACGAAGAUCAUUGUGUCGGACGCUUCAAAGUUUCCGUUCAACGGGUCUAUUCCGGAAACCAUGUAUGGGGAUGUUCCUGCUGACAGCCGGAUUAUCCAGACGUACAAAGGGUUCAAGCGUUCUGGUUCGAGGGAUCUUACUCCAGAGAUGUUGAAGUCAAUACAUGACGCCGACAAGCCUGCUCCAAGAGGCAAAAAGGCUGAUAAGGGGAAACAGGUGGCAAAAGGAGCAAAAGGCCCAUCUCCAAAGAAGAGGAAACCCACCAAGCUUGCUCAGUCUCCACAGCAAAAGAGGAGAAAAACCCAACCACGACGAAAGUUAAUUAUCGCUUCCUCCUCAAGCGAGUCUGAGGGUGAGAGUUCAGAUUCUGAUGACUCUCCACGUGGCAACACUCCACCCAGAUCUCCUACCCCAGAAGUUCAUGCAUCUACUUCUCCAAUUUCCUCUCCACCUAAAACCAUUCCUAUUUCUAUUCCCCCCAUAACUUCCACUACUUCAAUACCACCCACUUCAAUCCCAAUACCAACACCAAUAUUCACCGACGCAACCACAACAUCCACUGCAGAUGUUAGAGCCAACGUAUCUGAUACGGGGGUUCAUACUGAUGCACCCGAAACCACUCCAGCACCCGAAACCACAAAAGCACCCGAACCUACACCAACACCCGAAACAACCCACCACGAAUCUACCCAUACUCCUACACCACCACCUUCUCCUGGUCAUGCUUUAGAGGGAGAAGAACCAUUCCUUGGCGGGGAAGAUAUGACGUUUGACUCGGUUUACUAUAGUCCGUUUCAAGUACAGAGUGAUGACGAUGACGACGCUCCUGUCACAAAAAGACAUCUCAAGGAGCUCCAUGACAAGAUUGACUUGCUCAUCGCCUCCUCUUCCACUUCUCAGUCAUCCCUUUCUGAAGAUGCAGUUCAGAAGAUUGUUGACGCCUUCUCUAAAGCUCAGCAAGAUUCCAUUGCUUCUGCAACCUCCGCUAUAGAUGCCUCCACAAAAGCCUGUCAGGCUGCGACCAAAAAAGUCGAUAAACUAUUUUCUGAUGCCUCUUCUCUGUUAAAGUCUUUACAGGAGAGUGCAAAUGCCGCCAAGACUAUGUUGGAACCCAUUGUUCACCAGCUAGCAACGUCAGUCUCCACUGGGUUGAAGUCCUUCGCUUCUUUUCGUCAAAUGCUUUCAGACGACAACUCAGCCUUUUGCACUACCAUUGACGAGCAUCUCUCGAAGCUACAAGAAGAUUUGGCUGCUGAGAACUCUCUUAUGGAUGUUCUUGCAAAGAAGACCACUGCUCUGAAGGUCAAGAGUGUUCAACUCUCCAAUUCUCAACAGGAGAUUGACUGUCUUCGGUCCGAAAGGGAGGUGAUAAAGUCGUGUGUUUUGGAUGUCCACUCUGCCAUCUCCAACAUCCUCGAAGCACAUGAUCCUAUUCUUAACUAUACUGUGAGGCGUGACCUUGCAGAGAAGCUCGCUCCCGUCCUUGCUCUGCUCAGCAAACUCAAAGGGCUCCUUGAUUUCGUGUCCAUUCCGAAACAAGGGGGAGAGAAGGAAACAAUGUCUCAACCACCUCCUACUUCCACAGCUACUCAUACUACCGAACCUCCUCCAGUAGGCCAAGCCUCCGGUUCUGGUGUGAAAGACAAAGGCAAAAAGAUUGCUGAGGAAGAAGAAGAAGAAGACAAAGAAACAAUCGCCGACUUGUUGAAGCGUAGAAGUCGACGCAAUGAGGCUGAUAUCAGUGCUCGUGUGGCAAGAGAGGCUGAAGAAGCCGAACGUAAACAGAAGGAAGCCCACGACCUUCUUGAGAGUAAGAAAACUCUUUUUCCUGCCUGGACUCUCGAGAGAAUGAUAAAAGAAGCCAUUGACACACCGAGUAUCUUGUGGCUAAAACCUGUAAUCUCUCUUGAUUGUUCCAACACUGUUGACUCUCAGUUUGACAUGCCACUGACCCGAAAGGCGUUCAUCUUUCAUGCCUUCUCCAACGUUUCAGAGUUCCCUCAUCCUCAUCCACAGGUUGAUCGGGACUUAAUCGAUUUCUAUCUGAAGGCUGCUCAACCUCAGUAUCAGACUUGGAGCGCUCAGAAGAUUAUCAACGUUCGGGUCUUGAAGCCGUAUAGUGAAGGGAACUUCAUUAACAUUCGGUUCAAGGUACUUCGGGGAUCUGCCAAAACCGAACAUGCUAUUUCCCUUGCAGAUCUUCCAAACCUUAAUCCCCAUGAUUGGAUUAUCUUGCACAACAUCCUUCUCACCAACGAAGCUGAAUACGGUCCGAUCAUCGACCAUUUCAAGAGGAUGCUCGUGUGCUACAUCAUGGAAGUUGCACUGAUGGAUCAGGAGAUUGCAAGCGUAUUUAAGAAGAAACCAACAAUAUCUCCUGUUGGCGCUGCCAGUGAUCUCAACCAAAUGCAGAUGGGUAAAAUUGACUCGAGAAGGAAUUCGGUCAUGUUCACCAGGAACGAAGGACAGAAAUGUCUUUUUGCCUUGGCUGACAAACACCUCUACACCACUGCUUGUUUAGAGCACGUUUUGGGGAUCAUCCGCAGAUGCAAGCAAAACACAGCGGAUGAUGUCAAGUACUUCGAUGACAUGAUUCAAUGGUACAUUCGGUUCAGACAGACUAUUCUCACUCUUAUCACACGUCUGUUUGAUACUGUAAAGAAGGCUCCCGCUGUUGGCCCGAAGAAGAAGUAGUCUUGCUCCAAUUUAACGCAAAUGGGGAGAUUGUUGGGUCGUGUUUUGUAUAAUAUGUUGCGUCUAUUGGGCUCGUUAGCUAGUCUAUUUUUGUAUCUCCGGUAUGGGCCUGUCCAUCCAUGAGUUUAGUAGGGUUGAAUAUAAAUAUAGGUGCUUGCAUGCAUCUUAGGUUAACGAUAGAAUAGAACGAUCAGAGCAUUAUUCAGAAGUUUAUUAUUAUCGUUCUUGUAACCCUAAAUCCUCUACAGCGGAAGUUCUUAGUCGAGCUCUGCUGAGGAUUUUUUGAUCUAAUCAUUUGACAUAUUUUGAUCCACUCUUGUCUUAUUUAUUGUUUUGUGUUCAUCGCAAUACCUGUUACAAAGAUCUAAUCGAUCUUCACGUUUGUUAUUAUAACUUAACACUUUUAUUUAGAAGAACUUUGGAGUCUUUGUUCUUUUAUGAAGUGAUUGGACAAGCUUCAUGAGUUAGUGAUAUAGAUCAUGAGUUAAAUAGUGGGUGUGUGAUGAAAAGUGAGUUGGAUAGAUGAGAUGAUCAGUGAUAUAGAUCAUGAGUUGAAAUAUAGGAAAAGCUUUAACCCAGAUGUUGGCGUGAGUGGUGCAAUACGAGAAAAGCCCUUACCCAACGUUGACCCCCGUCAUUCAGCAGAUGAGGGAUGACAACCAUGGACUGUUUUGAUGGUCUGUGGAACACUAGCAGGUUUGUAACUUGUAGGUGUUAAUGGACUUAAGUGUUCAUUCGCUGUACUCUAAAACCCCCGUCAUUCAGCAGAGUAUCGAUGACAACCAUGGACUGUUUUGAUGGUCUGUGGAACACUAGCAGGCUCAUAACCUGUAUGUGUUAAUGGACUUAAGUGUUCAUUCGUUGUACUCUAUUCCCCUCGUGAGUGCCUUUAGGGCAAGUAAGGAUGGGGAAAACCCCUUAGUAUGUUCAUCAGCUGUAUGGAAAACCCAUUGACAUGUAUUGCGGGGAAAACACCCGUGGGAAAUAUCGUCGAUGAAUAAGAGCUAUGGACUAGCACAUGGCGAUGAUGUGACUUCGUGCCUAUUUUACAUAAAUUGCUGAAGGAAAGCAAUGUUGUCACUUUGUUGGUUAUUUUAUAUUAGGAUGCCUUGUUUGACAUAACUUGCUGAGGGAAAGCAAUGUUGUCACUCCGAUGUUUUUUUAUUUGACAUAACUUGCUGAGGAACCCCUAAAGCAAUGUUGUCACCCCUAGUGAUAAUCCUUAGGCUAGGUCCCUUAUGAUAGUUGUUUUAGGGACGUAAAGUGAGGAUAAUGGGAAUGAGUAAUUAGGGUUAUUUUGGUUGAUGAAAUUAAUAAAUUUAUUGUUGAUUGAGAACUUAAUAAGUUUAUUAUUUAUUGUGGGUUGAAAACCCUAUAUGCUCACCAGGCUCCCAAGCCUGACCCACUCAGUUUAUUUGUAUCACAGGUAUCGAUACGAAGUUGCUUUACACUGAGAGAUUAAAAGAGAAGUAGAUCACUAGUGUAAAUGAAUGUAAGUUUUGUUUAUGCUUAUGUUUUUGUAUUGACAAUGACAUCGCAAUAGUUUAAGUGAAUAAAAUACAUUUCUUCGGAAAUGAGUUGAUAACAUAGUUAUCAUGUUUAUCUGGGAACAAAUUCCGCAACACUUUUAAUCAAAUGAUUACUCUGAAAUUAUUUUAAAAGCAGAAAUUAAAUCGGUCUUUUUUGGCCGUGAAAUUAGGGAUGUCACACAUAUGUUUUGGAUUUAUCAUUCAAAAAUGUUUGAUUGUCUUCAAACUUUCGAAUGUUUUUAAAUUUCCGAGCAUUCUCAAAUUUUCGAACAUUUUCAAAUUUUCGAUCAUUCUCAAAUUUUCGAACAUUAACAAAAUAUCGAUUUGUUCUAUUUGAAUAAAAUAUGUUUUUAGCGUUUGUUGGUUUUGGAAAAGAUGAAUUUAAAGUUGAGAACUUUUGUCUUUUUUUGUUUAAAUAUUCUUUUGUUGAGCACUUGUUUAAAAAGUCUUUGAAGAUGUUGAAAACUUUGUUGAAUAAUUUUGAGAAUUAGAUGAAAUUGAUUGAGCAGGAUUUUCCUUUUUAUCCGAAUGAGUUGAAAACUUUGUUUGUACUGAUUUAGACAACCAUUUUUCAGACAUUUUCUUGAUUGGUAUUUUUUAUUGCUUUUCUUUUGACACUAUUUGCCAAAAAAUUCUCUUUCGUGCUAGUCUUUUCGAAAUUCCUUUUUCAUUCGAAAUUUUUUCAACAAGAUCCUUAAAUUCUUGUGAAUUAAGUUUCACAUUCUCAUUUGUUUAAUUAGAUUCUUGUUUCAAAAUCUCUUUAGUAUUUUCUUGUUUUUCAACCCAUUUUGUUGUGGUUUUUGUCUUUGAAAAUCAUAUGAAUUCUUUGUUAGAUUAUUUCGACAAUGCUUUGAUUUGAAAAGAAUCAUUCGUCUGAUGUUUUCUUGUUAUCUUCUUCGACCAUUUUGUUGAAAUCCAGUUUGAUGUUUUCAACAUUUCCAGUAGUGACAACACUUGAUUCGGAAAUACAACAUCAUCUGUACACUUAAAAUUUGGAUACACCACAGUGUUCGUUUCCAAAAAAUAAGCACCUUUUUCAGAUAACACUUUGUCGAAAUUUUUAGUGUCUCCAAACACUUGGUCAACAACAAUUCGUUUAAUGGUUGUUUCGUUUGAAACAUACUUUUCUAUUGCAGAAUUGUUUGGCACUUCUUCUUCAUUCUCAUCAUCACUGUUAUCCGUUUGACUGUCUCUAACACUCACAUGAUCAAAGUCACAAACAUUCGAAGUAGAGGGUCUAUCAGUGUUAUCCUCAACCAUCGAAUCAUCAAAAAAAAUUUACCUUUUGACUUAGAUGUGACACUAAUGACAGAUAAUUGAGAACAAUCGAUACUUUCCUCCUCCUCAAUUUCACUGAUUUCGCUAAAAUUAUCAGAAUUAUCUUCGAUAUCAGCAAAAUUAAAUUGAGAGUCAAGUUUUGAAUUCUUAGUUCUUUUCAAAAUUUUGAUUUGUUUACUUUUGGUCAAAGUUUCAUUCACUAUUUCAACAAGUUCAUCAGCAUUCAAAUAUUCGUCUAUCUUAACAAUACCAUAAGCAAAUCGAUUAUCAGGACCUUUAUGGAAUUAAGCUAUGGUUUUCUCACAAUCAUAGGACAAACUAUCAACUUUCUCUCCUUCGAAAACAAGAAAAGGCAAUAGUUUCCUAUGUUGUUCUUUGCUUAUAUUAGAUGAAUGAUGCAAUGAAGUCAAUUUAGCAUAAAGUCUUUUUUCUGAAUUAUAGUAAAUGUUUCGUUGAGCAAGUAACAUUCGAACUUCAUUAUCUAGACAUUCCCUAUCCUUAUUCACAUUAUUCAAUUGCAAUUCCAGAUACUCUACCCUGCUUCGUUUCGAAUCUAGCAAUUUUUGGGUCUCUAGCAACUAGAUGUUUAGUUUCUUAGCUUCAUUACUAGCAGACACCACAAUUGUAUCAAAGUAAGCAACAGUAUCAUCAAAUGCAAUUAUUUCAGAAUCAUAAGCUUAUAAAGGAAUGUUAAAAGAUUGAAAAAUAGAACGUACCUUCGUUGUCAUCGGUUCGUCCUCAUCCUCUUCAAAUUGUGCGAACAUAGCCCCAUGCGUCAGAUUAUGCAUCUCUUCGUCAUCAGAUCCUGAAGACCAGAUCUGAUAUGUGCCAUCUUCCUCACCUUCUCCUCUUGCAACCAAUGACAUCCCUUUCUCUUUUGUACGUAUAUCCUCCAGUUUCUCCACAUAAUAUGCUUUGUCCUUGACCUUAUUCUUUUUAUCUUCUUUCUUACGAAGCAUGCAAUCAUUAGCCAAACGAUUUGCUCCGUUGCAGUAAUGACAGUCAAUACCUGAAUCUCCCUUGAGUUUCUUCUCGCUUUUGGCUUCAGUUGCCUUCACAUCAUUCUUCUCGAAUUUCUUCUUCUCCUCACCCACAAACUUAUUCACGAAAUUUCCUUUCACAUCACUCCGCUUCACCUUAGGAUUGAAGGGUUUCUUGAAAAAAAAAUUAACUUGGUUGUUCGAGUAAAAAGCAAUCGCUUCAUCAUCAGAGCUCAUUAGAAAACCUUCUUCAUCAAAAUUAUCUUUUUCACCUGCCUCUUUCUCAGACACUUUCGAAACAAGAGCUAAAGGGCGUCCCAAACUAGGUUUCGACUCUUCAGCCAUCUCAUUCACUUCACUUUCGUGAGUUUUCAAUUGAUUAUACAAAUCAUUCAGAGAGGAAGUAUCGAAGCUUUGUUGAUUCUUCACCAUCAUACUGACAAUUCUCCCUUCCUUACGAAGCCCCAUCACAAAAAUGAGAUUGAACUCCAUUGAUGACCUUGUGAUUCCAUAACGAUUGCAUAUAUAGAUCAAUUCAUUAAGAUGAUCAUAGUAAACUUCAAUCGUUUCAUUCUCUUUUUGUUUGAACUCUUUCAGCUCCACAUGACACUGCUUAACAGAAUUUAUCUUCAUUUUCUCACUUCCCUAAUAAUUUUCCUUAAAAGUGUUCCAAAUAUCCUUUGUAGUUUUACAACCACGGACGUGAUUGUAAACAACAGGUGGCAAUGCACCUCGCAAUUCUCUCAAACAACGCUUUUCGUUGUUCUUCAGCCUGGUGGAUUGAUCAGUAACUCUAGGUGUUGAUCCAGAUGAUCCAAUAGUUUGAACAUUCGAUGGAGGUUGAGCGAUUCCUGUAAUGCAGCUCUAGAGUUCCUCAUCCAAUCCGUUCAAGUAAUCCUCCAUUCGAUCAGCCAACUAAUCAUAGUACUCAGGAAUCAACAUAGGAAUCUUCGUAGAAGAUCCUAACAGAUGAGAAAAUGAAGUCAUCGUGUUUAUGUUGAAAUUCGCCAUUACCGUACAUAUGAGAUUUUUCAGAAAAACUUGAAAGAAUUCAAAAUAGAAUGAAUGAAUUGAUCAGAAACUCAAAAUCGAUUACUCAAUUAUACAAUUCAAACAUAGAAUCAAAUCAAAACUAUAGAUCAUAGAUGAUUUUCAGAAUCAAACAGUGCGGAAACUUUUGAGACAAGCACGUGAAUCAAAAACUAGAGAUUCAAUUGAAAAUCAGAUCUCCGCAGUAUUGAUUCAUGCUCUGAUACAAAUUGUAGAAGUGUUUAAUCGAGUAUAAGAAUCAAAUCAGAGUAAAACAAUGCAAUAUGAACACACGAAGUAAAUAAGAUUUGGUUUAGCUCAUAUUACUUUCAGAGAACACGAGUACAAAACUGAUAGUAAACAAUGGAAACUCUAUUAUCAACUCUAUGUUCAACUCCUAUUUAUAGGAGGCUGAAAGUACAAAAAAUACUAAGGCUAGACAUUACGCUUUGUUAAAACAGAUGCCUUAGCAAAUACAUAGAAAACAUAUGAAAGUGACUAAUACACAUACUUCGACAAAUUACAAAAUAUUUUGACUCUACAAGAACAACCAAUUUGAUAAUCAAAAAGUCAAUAUACAGCCCUCCUUAUAGGAAACUAAGAGUGUGUUUGGUGGUCAAGAAUUAUUUGUUUUUCAAAAGAUACUUUUAAGAAAAAUGAUUUUUUUUUUAAAACGUGUUCGGUUUAAUAUUUAUUCUAAAAUUUAUAAAGAAAGGAGAAUUCUUCAAUUUUCUAAAUUACAAGUAUUUAAAAAAAUCUCGAAAGAUAAAAGUGGUUCGGGUAUUUGGAAGUUUAAAGUUGCUUAAUGUCGCUUUACUAAAAAAAUAGGUUUGGUGGUUUUAUACUGAUCAAAAAAAUGCUAUGGGUUUAUAACUAGGGGUUAGACUUUUAUGUUCCUAAACCAAAGGGUGGUGUUUAGUCGUCGGUAGAUAAAGUGUAUGAAAAACAUAUAUUUCCUCAUUCUCUUUUAUGUAAAAGAUUUGGGAAGGGGGUGAUACUAGUUUUUAGGAUGGGGUGUGGGUGUGAGAUAAGAGACUUAUGGAUCGGUUUCCUAGGUUCUUUGUGCUUGAGACAAAUGAAGAUUGUUUAGUUGUUGAUAGGUAGUGAGAUGUAUGUUGGGUGUGGGAGUGGACCCGUCAGAUUAGAGUGAUCGUCUGAAUAGAUGGGAGUGGGAACUUGAGUCUGAUGGUGUUUUUUCGGUUAGAUAUACUAGACGUCAUAUUGAUAAUAACAUGAUUCUUGGAGGUUUGUUUCCUAAACAACAGUGUAAUUUUGCUCCAUCAAGUUAAACGUUUUUCUUUAGCGGGUAGUUUGGGAUAUGAUUACAACUACAAUUAGUUUGGUUGGUAGAUGCGUGGAUGUUCCCACAAUUUUAUGUCCUUGUUCGUUGGAUGUGGAUGACUGCAAACAUGUGUUUGUAAAUUGUAAGGUGGCUAGUUAGAUUUGGAUAAAGGUGGUUAAGUGGUUAGAUCUUCCAAUCCCUUUAUUUAUCAAUUUUAUAGAACUCUUUCUUGGGUGGACACAAUCACUUUAUCAACAUUGAAGAAAAAGGCUUUGGAAGUCAUUGUCUUGAUUAUGAUUUGGAAGCUUUGGCAUUAUAGGAACAAUGUUGUGUUUCAGACUCCAACUACUAAGAGGAGUAAGGUUUUUGAAAGUAUUGUUAUUUAAUUUGUGGAUUGGUUUUCUAACAUAUGUAAUAAAAUUAGUAUUACUUGGACUUGGUGGUUACAAAACACAAUGACUAUGAAUUAUUUAUAAUUUUUUCUAGCACCUUACUACUGGUUAAAAAAACAAAUAAUUAAAAAUUUGAUAAUUAUUGUUUUCUACACUUUUCUAAUUUUCAAAAGCUUUUUAAAUAUAAACAAACACACGCCCCACACCUACCCACCCACAAGACCCCUGCCUACAUUAUACAAAGACAUCUAAAUUGUAUACAUAAUUACUUUAUCCUUAAUUGAUCGAUUUUUUUAUUUUGUUUGUAUUGCAUGAGUAUAUUAAUGAUGUCGUUUAAAAUAGGUUUAGCUGGUUGACGGUGUUAGAAUUAUUUGAUGCAUUAUCAAAUGUAACAAAAACAACAUUAUUUUGUAAUUUAAAAUCUUGCUUGACCAGUUUGCAAGUCGCAUGAUUUUUUGAUGUCAAGUUUCCAAUAGAGUUAUGAAACUAACCAUAUUUUUGCAUAGAUUCUUUUCUCUUCGUUGUUUAUAAGGCAUAAAUCGAAAUUAGACUAAAUUGCUUGGUUUCAGGAAUAUGGAGAAAUUUUGACAACAUUGGCAUUCACAUGGUUUUUUUUUAGGUUGCUCUAAUGCUCCCGAUGGACGCGAAACCAACAGCUUGUGAGAAUGUCAUUUCCAGUUGGAAAUUGAAGUAUAAUUCGAGAGUACGAGAUUGCAAGAAACGUUUUGAAAAGAGCAGUGUUAAAACUAAAUGAAACAACACUUGUUUAUACCAAGUAUAGAUGAAUAAAUGGUCAUUUUUAGGGUCCAAACGGCUAUACAACUGGUUGUUUUUUUUUUUUUUUAUUUAUGAAAAAGUGCUUUUUAUUUAUUCUGAUAAAAUGACGGAAAAAAAAAAUAGUCUUAGAUUUUCGCCUUUCCAGGUACUCAUCUUCGUCUGAUAGGAUUUAUGCAAUCCGGAUUAUUAUUAUUAUUAUUUUAAGUACAAUAUAAUAUCAAAAUUCAAUUAUUUUUCAAAUAUCCGAAUCCAGUUUCUCUAUAUGUUUGUUCCUUAAAAAAUGUUAAUUUUCAAUUUGGCCACUCUAGCGGGCCUAGUCAGCCCAACCUAAUAAUAUAGCCAGCAGCCCACCACACCAUACGAAAAUCAGAAAUCUAUUUUGAGUUUUUGACACUUUGAAUGUGAUGUAGCAAAUGCAUAACAUCAGUAUCGAGUAUCGAACAAUUAAGUAUAUGUAUAUAUUUCUCAAAACUUCAAACGAUCACAAAACAUGAACAAAUAACAGACUACGUACAAGAGUACAGGAAGAAAAAAACAAUUCGUUACAAACAAAAAAAAUAAAAUCUUAGUGCCUUAUUUGAUCAAUCGUCACUAGGAGCAGGAGCCGAAGUCGGAGAUGGAGAAGCACCAUUUGUUUGAUUGACAGUCUUAAACCCUAAUUUUCUUAUAAGUUCAUCAGCAAUCAUCUCAUUAGCAUGAUCCGAUGGAUGGUAUUCAUCCCAAAACAAAUACUUGCUUCUGUCUUUACAUAAUCUCGAUGCAGGAACACACGUCAAAGCAGGCCUAAUCCUUCCAAAUGAACAGCAUGGCGAAUCAGCAUUGUCAAAUCCUGCAACAACCAUAUCACAUUUAAUUCAAAAAUCAAAACAUAAUUAAUUUACAGUAUCAAUUUACUGAAUUAGACAAGAAAAACGUACCAUAUUUACUUGGAUUGGUGAUGAUAUUAUUAACGACAUCAUAAGCAUCUCCGAAUUUGUAAGACGCAUUUGGAAGUUUCGCAGAUAAAUCGUCCAUGAGUUUAGCUGUAGCUUUGUUGAAGCUAAGAGCAAGUGUGUUUGUUUUCUCUUGACACCCACCAGAAGUACUCAACACCCUUUGAAGAGGAAUACAACCCAUUGGCCCUAACCCGAAAACCAUCAACUCUCGAACUCCCAUCCCAUGCAAUACCUACAUAUAACAUUAAACCAAGAAAUUAAACUCAUGCAUGAAUCUUAUAUAUAUAUCAACGACUUUUGAUUGGUUCCCAACAAAUUAAAGGAUCAGGGUUGUUUAAUUUUUACUGUGAGUUGUUCUCCGAGAGUCUCCAUUAGGUAGCCGACGAAGGUGUCAUCGUUAUACGUCCAAGAAUCAGCAUAAACAGGCAUCAAGUAGUUGUUGAUGAAAUCAUUGCUACCCAAUGCCACUACGUACUUCGCUUCCUGGAAAAACUUGGUUGCUUCUUUAUCGCCGAUUGAGCCUCGGAUCAAUGUUUGAACUCCUCGGAAUAACUCGAUUUGCUUAUACAUUGAGAAUCUUUGAAUCUGUAAUUUUUUUUAACAAUUUCGUUAUCUGUUUUUAAUCUAUAAAUCCGGUUUAAGUACAGGAAUAUUCAAACUUACAAACAAACCACCAGUUUCGUUCAAGAUCCCGCCACCUCCGGAAGCGAAGUUCACUCCGUUCGCAAGUAUAACAUCUUCUGAUAACGAGGGAUCCAAGAACGCCGGUGGUCGUGGAAGCCCAAUCUUAUCACCUGCAACCCAAAACUAUUAAAGUCGACGAUGGUUUAUAUAUAAUUUACCAUGUGAUGUUGCCGGAAAAUAUAUUACCGAUAAUGUCAGAAACGGUGCGACCAUUGGUGAACCUGCCAUUCGGCAUUCCACUACCAUAGUCGAUGCCAUACCAAGGAAGUGCAGCCUGUGCGAAGCUCUUUGUAAGCCGAUUGUUGUUGCCGUUAUCGGACAAUGAAUCCCCGAAGAUGAAUUGCACAAUUUUGCAAUCGUAUCCAUGGAUUAAACCUGAAAGAAGCGUCGUCAAGACCACCGUCAUGGCCACUGUUAACUUCAUCUUUCUUGGAGAAGAUUUUGUUGAGCUUGUUUUGUUGAAGAAAUGAUGGGUUUGAAGUUGGAAUUUAAACAUGAAAAAUGAUUUAGAAAGGUGAGUCAUGCAAGCAAUUGCUACCGGAGGUUGUACCACCUCCUGGCCUACGUAAUAUUUUAUUUUAUUUUUAAGUUCAAAUAUUAAAAUACCCUUUUUCGUUAUUGAUAAAAAUCAUUACUAUCAACGGUUUAUAUUACAAGGUUUUACAAGAAUAGAAGGCAUUAUCCAUAGGUCGAUAACAUUAGAAUCAACAUUGUUAUACUUUUGUAAUGAAUCCGAUGGGUAAAUAUGUGAUUUUAGUAUAAUUGUUUUUGAAAGAAAGGGACUAUACCGGUAUAAUACAUCUUAAAAUAGAAAAUUUUAUUAUUCUUUGUAAAACUAAUUAAGGGAGGUCUAUUCGGGGGUUGAAACUUGAAAGGAUAUGAAGUUGAUAAGCUAAUUGUAACUACUUACAAUCACUUGGGAUUUUGCCAUGGUUUGAGGUUAUGUUGUUUGUCAACAUAUUUUUACGGGUGCUCACCUACCUUAUAUAAAAAGUAGGUGGAAUUUAUAUGAAUGCUUUUAUUCAAAAUAUCAAAAUUUAUAACAAUAUCGCAUACACCGUUUGAUAAUUUUCUGAAAACUACAACUAAAUAUAACAAAAAAAAAAUCUCGCUCGAUAUUCAACGGUUUUAUGUUUGUUGAUGGUGUGACAAGAAAGGUGAAGAAAGUCCGAAAACAAACAACGGCAUGUCUGCUUCUUCUAAUAAAUAAAACUCAUUUUUGCUACGUGUCCCUAUUCUACAUUGUUACUUUGCCGCGUGUCAUCUUCUUAAAAAUUCUUAUAAUCAGCUUAAAAUCAGCUGAAUCGGUUACUGAUUUCAUUACUUAAAUAAACAUAAUUAGAAAUUCUGUAGUUUUUUUUGUGCCGCGAUUCAAACAUUCCCCCAAUUUUUGGUCUAUCAUCUUGCAUUCUUUCAAAAUCUAUUACCUAAAUUAUGUGAUGUCCUCCAAUCUCUCACACAUUAAAUAUUCUUAUGAUAACUGCUUGUGCAUAGCCCUUCUCCUUCUUCGCCACUCUUCUCAUGUAACUUUUUAUUUUUUUGGUUUAGGCAAAAGCGGGAUCGCAUCCUCAAAUUGUAAACACGUAUCCUCAAUUUAAUUCCUUUGGACCUGCUAAAUGUUCAUUCAAUCACAAUCGAAGGUAAAUCCAUAUGUGUUCAUUAAUUUCAUUCUUCUUUUCCUUCAAUUUCUCAAUAGCCAAUAGUCUCGAUGUUUUUAAAUUUUAUUCUUUUUCCUGUUUUUAUUCGAUCCAUCCCAAGCCAAUAAACUAACAUGUGUUUUCUGAAAUUUAAUCAAUUUUUUGUGCUUGAUCAUAUUAUGUAUGGGGUAUUUUUUUUAUGGGAGUAAGGAACUCAAAGAGAAGACUGUUACCACUCUUCACGCCAAAUCCAUUCAGAAAAUAUAACCAAAAGCAUAGGAAAAAUAUGAGGUAUUAAACAGUUUCUCUAUUUUCUUUUGUUUGUGGGUGUAACAACCCAAAAUACGACCCAGAAAAUUUUGUUUUAAUAUUACUAAAAAUCUCAACAUCAAACGUCAUAUAUAACAAAACCAUGGAACGAGUAAUUCAAAAGUCAUAGUAACAGUAUCCAAAACAAAAACUGUAUCAAUCAUAUCAAAAUAUCAGAGUAAAUUCUCAGGCUAAACUAAAGCUGUGGUGUGUGCCAUGCCAUCAUCCCGAGCUCUUCCCCUUACUAGAAGAACUACCUAAAACCAAAACUGAAACUGUAAGCACAAAGCUUAGUGAGCUCCCCCAAACUACCACAUACCAUACAAUAACAUAUAAAGCACAUACUGGGCCUUGCCCAUUACAUCGGACCGAAGUCCGGAAACUGACCAGGGCCUUGCCCUCUGCAUCGGACUGAACUCCGGAAACUGCAUCGGACCAAAGUCUGGAACUGACUGGGACCUUGUCCCCUGCAUCGGACUGAAGUCCGGAACUAACUGCAUUGGAUCGAAGUCCAGAACUGACUGGGACCUUGUCCCCUGCAUCGGACCGAAGUCCGGAACUGACUGAACGUAGCAUAGCAUAAACAUAUCAACUAGUAUGAACACAUAUACUGCAUACUGCAUCGGAACAGGGUCCGGAACACAUAACACAAAACAUUUUUUAAUCACAAAGACAUCAAGCAAUCUAACUACUACAUCGGACCGAGGUCCAGAACUAUUGCUAACUAAACGGGUCGGCAUUGUGGCUGUAGACCCAUUCCUACUGGAAGGAAACUCACCUCGUGACGUCGGCUGCUGAGAUGCUAACUCUAACACUGGCUGACUGCUGCUCCGGAACUAUCCGGCUACAAAUUCCAAAAACACUAGGAUCGGUUACUUGUAAAUGCCCGCAAGGUAAAAUGACUAUUUUACCCCUGAUCAAGGUCAACUCCCUGGUCAAAGUCAACUCUCUGGUUGACCGGACUCGUCAAGUCAGGGCGCAGACUCGCCGAGUCCCUCCUUUACUAGUUCUGACAUUAACUCACCGAGUCCCUUUCCCACUCACUGAUUCACCCUAAACUCACAACUUGAAGAAAAACGGGGACUCGCGACUCAACUCAUCGAGUCCGAAGAACGACUCGCUGAGUGCUAUCGUGUAGAUUCCAUACAAUCGAAUUCUAAUCCUUUCCAAAGCAUCUAACUCGUAGAUCUGAGCCCUUGAGACCAUCUGAACUCGUAGAGUUGCUAACUUUACGUGUAACUACGAAGGAAUGAAGUUAUUUCACUCAAACACUAUUUUUCUCGGGAAAACUCAUCCGACUCGCCGAGUUGUUGAACAACUCGUCGAGUCUAAGGAAAUCUUCAUCGGACUCGCCGAGUUACUCAUCCAACUCGUCGAGUCCACGGCUAUCUUCAUAUGACUCACCGAUUCAACCAUGCGACUCGCCGAGUCCAGUCAGUCCUUUUUCCAUACAGACCUUAUUUGAGCCAUGCAGCGGCUCCAAAUCACAGAUCCAAGCUUCUAGGGCAUGCUUAUCACGUGCAUGGAUGGCUUUAAAGGCUUUAAAUGCCAAACCUAAGCUCUUAAUGGAGUUCCAAGCUCAAGAGGGACCUCAAUUACGACCAUAACUGAAACUUUACACUUCUAGAAUGCAAUGAGGGUCCAGAUCUGAAGUAUGACCCGAUCAUAAGACUUUAUCACAAAGGAUUUGGGGUUUUGUGGCUCAAAAGCAAAAAUUUGGGGACAAACAAGAUCUACUAGAUCAAUAAACAAUAUGGAGGCUUUAUUACCAGAAAAGAUGACCACAACUGAGUGUGUUCUGGAUCUACUUCCUCUUCUUUGAACUCUUCAACCUUCUCCUUCUUCAACUUGCUCCAAAAGUUCCUUCACAAAGCAAUAAUCACUCACACACUCAAUAAGGGGGCUAGGGUUCGGUAAGAGAUGCUCUGAGAGUGAUAGAGGUGAGGUUGGGGUGUAUAAGUGUGUUUAAAUAGGGUGUAAACCCUUAAAACUAGGGCUUCAUCCAGACAGGCAGACUCGCCGAGUCCAGCGUAUGGACUCGCCAAGUCGCCAGCUUAAUUCGCGUGAUCAUCCCGUCUCUACUCGAUGAGUCGGGUUACAGACUUGUCAAGUACCCCUCAAGAAAUGAAAUACUUUAAUUAAAUCACAUACUAUAAAUGGGGCGUUACAGUGGGUUUUGUUGCAGCAAUAGUUAUUGGGAUAUCAUAAUGCAUAUCAACCGUUCGAUUAAAUGCUUGGGUUAAAAUACUGGUAAAUAACUCUCAUUAGUUGGUUUUUGUCAUCUUUGAAGUGUGAACUUCACAUUCAAUGAAUCCAUAAAAUAAAGGAAAAUUUCCAUAUCAUGAACUAUUGUCAACGAUCUUUUUUUUCAUUAAGAUAUUGUUCGAAACGAGACAUUUAGUGGAAGCUAAGGAUGAAGAUUUUGGGUUGGUGUGAAUGGAUGUAUAUGUGAAUGCAAGUUUUAGUUUAAAAUAUAUUUUAAACAUUCAUAACCAUAGGUAUUGAUAUAUUAUUUUCUAGGCUUAUAUGGACCAUUUGUGUUUUUGAAAUAAUGCAUGAAAUAAGGCUUACACCGUGAUAUUUUUUUGGUGAUAUCUGAAAGGUGUUCAAUACUUGAACAUGAGAUUGUUUUUUAACGAAAAACAUACAAGUUAAGGAUACUUAUCUCACUAUCCAUCUGAUGCGACCUGGCUCCGAACCACCUGAGCUAUGGAUGAAUGACGUCCGGUUGGAACUUGAUAGGUCACAGAGAAAAGGAAGGCGUCAGCCGUCGUCCGGGAGGAGGUCCUGGAAGAACGCUCCGACGGUCAAGUUAGUUGUUGAAAUGAGAAUGAGCGUAUAGAGAAUGAAGUUUGGGGUCAAGAGAGCUUCCCUUGUCAAGGCCAGAUGAUAGGCCUUUUAUACUAAAGAUCUUCCUCGGACCGUACGAGGGACAGGGACUGCGAUCCCGAUAGGAUCUGAUGCUCUUAUUGGAGAAGCAUGAUCCACGUUUGUGUCCGGCCCAACGAUUGUUCCAGGCGAUUAUGCUCUGGCCUGGCAUCUUGUCGCCUGGAGCCAUUAUCUUUGGAAUGUAGUUAAAGGACCAUGCUUGGCGAGGGCGAGCUUCCUAGGUGGUCGCCACGUAGGAAUCUGGGGUCGUUUGGGCGUCCGGGUUGCCCGGCCGAUUCCCUGCUGGUAGCGCCCUGCUAGGGCUCACCUGUCUUUGGCCUGCUCUGAGGGGCGCGUCAUCAAGUCCCCCAGUCCAGUAGUCAUAGUGUAUGCUAGCUAGUUAUGACGUUCUGGACUUAACUUUUGGUACACACAUCAUGCUUUUACUCGGUCGAUGCUUCAUUUCCGGUGAUGUGACAUUACGACGUGCGCGGCGGUUACGUCAACUGUGUCAAGGAUUUUCGUAAAUCCCGCUUUCUUUUCCUUUUAUUCCUCUUGAACAGUUUUCUUUUUCAGUUCCUACCCUACCUCUUUAUUCCUUCUUUUCUUCUCCUCUUCUUGUUCUUUUUCAUGGCGUCUACUCAGAGCUCAAUCCCUAGUUCCUCCGAAUUCGACACCCUUUAGGAGGCUUACGGCCUCACUCUGGCCGAUGGGGUGGAGUUCCUAGCCUCUGGUUCUUUGAUCACUCGACCUCCGCUUUGGAAGGUGGGUGUUUAUCUGAAAACCUUCGACGCCGGUCUUCACUUUCCAUUAACUGACUUUCAAGAAGAAAUACCCCAGCGUAACGGGUGCAGUGUUCAGAUGCUAACCCCCGGUGUUGUUCAUAAGAUAGUGGCCUUCGAGAUGAUUUGUCAAGCUAACUGCAUCAUUCUCGACUACUUCGUCUUCAAGUUCUUCUUUUAGUUUGCCGCCACCAACGACAAGUAUACCUUCUCUGCCAGCCGGGGAGGCCAUAAUCUCGUCGUUGACAGUAAGCCUCCCAAGAACUGGCAGGAUAAGUGGUUGUGGGUCAACCAGGAGCUGCUCGGCCAUGAGUACCCCCGGGCGACCACGCUUUCCAACACCAUCCCUAAACUAAUUUCCCACAACCAGGCGACUGCAGAUCUCUUGCGCACUCUCCAUGUGGACGUUGAUGUGAUGUCGGAGGCUAUACUUGUCAGUGUCGGGAUGAGUCCUAGUUGGCGCUCUCGGGGGGAGAUGUAUGUGUUCUACACUUUUUCUAACGGUGAGUCGCUCUUGCUUUUCCCUUUGGUUUCUUUCUUCUCCCCACUUUAUAUAUAUAUAUAUAUNNNNNNNNNNNNNNNNNNNNNNNNNNNNNNNNNNNNNNNNNNNNNNNNNNNNNNNNNNNNNNNNNNNNNNNUAUAUAUAUAAAGAGACCUCGUUCAUUUUUGCUUUUUCACGAUUAUCUUUUCCAUUUUUUGGCAGGUGUUGAAUUCUCUGUCUCUAUGGAUUCUAUACUGANAACCCGUAGGGAGUCUAUCGUGUCAGGAAGUCAGUCGGGUCCCUAUACUGUCAUGACCCCGCCGACUGCCUCUCGUACUCCUACUGAGCCGGCAACCGAUGGUGCGGUGGACAUCAAAGUUGGGAUUAUGGCUGGCGAUCGUCGGGUUGCGGAAAAAAGGAAAGUUGUGCAGGUGAUGAGUGGUCCAACUCCUGAGGGUAGCUCGGGACCCAUCGGACGGCGUGUGAUGCGGCGUCGUGGUCUUAUGCGCCUAUUGUUGUCUGUACCGUCCAGCCCAAGGGAUGUGUUGGUGAUACCGAUGAUGACAUUCAACAGUCUGAGGGUAUCAAAGGGGCGUCUCAUCAGCCCAUUGUACAGGUUUCUUUAGGCGCUGGCGUCAGCCUUCAGUCUUCGAGGGGUAGCCCUGAGCGGUUGUUCCAAGGGCCCUUUGUAGUGGGGGCGUUGUGCAGCACGCCUGUGUUUGUUCCAGGGUGGGGCUUACGUUCUGAUUCUCGUUUGUCUUUUCGUUCUGUUGCCUUGGAUUUUACUCGUCAUGCUCUUCCUCCAGCCACCGUAGAUGAUAUGGUUUCAAUGAGCAAUGUCGUCUUGGCUCAUAAUCUUGCGUAUGUCGCUGCACAGGCCAUGACAUAUCUGGGCGUUGGGUCCCGUCGUGUGCAGCGAUUUGAUGAGUUGGAGCAUGUGCAUUCUUCCCUUAUUGAGAAUGAAGCUGAUUUGAAGGCGAAGGUGACCGACUUAAGCAUUGUCGUUGGUCGGUUAGAGGAGGAGAACAUGUCUUUGGUGUCGGAGAAAUUGGUAUUGGAGGAUGUACGUAGUGUCUUGGAGGGUCAAGUGGGGUAUUUGACCCGAGCAAAUGAAGGUUUGAUGAUUCAGAAUGAAAGCCUGGAGUGGGACCUUUCCGAUCGCGAGCGUGAACUAGAGCUGCUGAGGGUAGACCCUAGUUGGCUCCUUCAGGUUGGGUUUGUGUGUGUGAUGGACAAGCUUCUUGAGCAUCCCGAGUUCACUGGUGGUAUUAGUCAUAUUCGUCAUGCUGCCUUUACUGCAGGGGAGGAGUCAGGUUGGGCCAGCUUGAAAGCUCAAGUCGACGAUGGGACUUACGAUCCUUCAACUACCAACUCGCGGUCCAGUCAUACGUCAGCCUUGGAUGACGCUUUGUUGGCUUUCACGACAAUGGACUUUGCAGGUUUGCUCGGGCUGGGUCACUUGGAUGUGGAUAGGUAAGAGCAUUAUGCGCGUUUGAUGAGGGUGAGGAGGAUGUGGAGAUGUUGGGUGUGGGUGGUUCAGGGGCAGGUGGUGUAGGAGCAAGUGUUGGGGCUGGUGGAGUUGGCGGUGGUAGUGAAAUUGGUGAUGGCGACGACCCUGUUGGUGGCGAUGGUGUUGGUGGCGAUGUAUAAAGUUGUUCAGGGCUACCCUUCUAGGUUGUGAAAAAAAAAUCUUAUUGAAGCUUUUGUCUUGUUGUCUUUUAAUCGUUUUACAGCCUCUAAGGCCUUUGUUUGGAUGUUCUUAGCCUAUGGCCUCUAAGGCUUUCGUGUGUAAGCAAACAACGGUUUAUCUUUAGUUGCUGAACUGUUAUGCUUUUUAUCAAUCAUAUCAAACCUUCUAUGUAGGCUUAUCAUCUGUUAGGCUCUCUUCUAUAUUAUUUUUUUCGUUUUUAUGUACACUACAUCUUGGAUUCACUAAGUAUCCUCUAUGCUAUAUUUUUUAGAAUGUUAGAUGUGCUCACUGCAUUACGUGCUAAAGACAAUGCAUGUUCUUUUAUUUAUGUAAUUCUGAUACAUGGUUGUUUCAUACAAUAAUUUCCUAUUAGACUUCUCUAAGAGUCUAUCUGUUGGUCUGGGUGAUUAGUCCUACCAUGAGAUGUUUUCCUCGUUUUCCCUACUGUUUAGGGUUUUACGACUUUGCUUGAAGGUUGUGUACCUUCGUCUUCCCUUCUGCAUAGGGUCCUGCCGUUUCUUAGAUGUGGAACUUCCUCAAGUUCCUCACGUUCCAUCCUAGGUAUUUGCCUCCCUUCCAGGGUCUCGAGAGAGUACGAUCCGUUGCGGUGCGUCUCGGCCACUAUGUAUGGUCCUUCCCACGUCUGGCUUAAUUUCCCGGGGGGUUGUGCAUGGUUGACCUCAUUUUUCCACAAGACAAAGUCUCCCACUCGGAAUGCUUUGUCCUUGACACUUUGAUUGUAGUAUCUUUCCACUGUCUUUUUGUAGGAUGCCUGGCACAUGCUUGGACGCUCGCGUCGUUCCUCCAGGAGGUAUAGGUUUUCUAUUAGAUUUUUGUUGUUUCCUUGCUCAUGGCAGUACUCUGUUCGUAUUGAUCCUAUCAUCAUUUCUUCCAGUAGCAUUGCUUCGGCUCCAUAGGCUAAACAGAAUGGCGUUUCUUUUGUGUUGGUCCGUGGUGUGGUACGAUAUGACCAAAGAACUUCUGGUAGCUCGUCUACCCAGUUGCCUUUUGCUUUGCCUAGCCGUUUCUUGAUCCCUUGCACCAACGUCCUAUUGGACACCUCUGUUUGUCCAUUGUCUUGGGGGUGAGCCAUAGAUGUGAAUCUCUAUUCUAUUCCCUUUUCUUUGCACCAGUCCUUGAAGGGGUUCUCUGCGAACUUUAGGCCAUUGUCACUGACUCGGAUCUUAAGUGUUCCGAACCGUGUUAUGAUGUUCUUCCAGACGAACUUGAUUAUCUGCCUCCCGGUAAUACACACCAACGGUUCUGCUUCUAUCCAUUUUGUAAAGUAGUCAACUACCACAACUAGAAAUUUUACCUUCCCCGGCGCUUCUGGGAAGGGGCCGACAAUAUCAACUCCCUAUUGGUAGAAAGGCCAAGGGCUGAUUAUGCUUGUUAACUUGGAUGGUGGCACUUCUUGUGCCGGUGAGAAAGUCAGGCAUUCCACACAAGUUCGUGUUAGGUCGAUUGCCUGCUGGUGUAUCUCUGUCCAGUAGAGACCCAUGCGCAACACUUUGCUUUUGAGUGCUCAGGCUCCUACAUGGGCUCCGGCUGACCCUGUGUGGGCUUCCUUCAGAGCCAUCUUCCCUGCCAUGCCAUCUAUGCAUUUGAGCCACAGAGAUGUGUGACAUUUUCUAUACAACGUCCCUUUUAGGACUGCAUAUUGGGGGGCUCGCACCCUCGUUUUCCGGGACUCUACAUGGUCGUCAAGGAGAAUACCGUGCAGAAGAUAGUCCAUGAUGGGCGUCAUCCAGUUGAGUUGCGCCACUGAUAGGGAGUCAACUUGCCGCUCGUCGAUGCUCCUUUCUUUUAGUAUUUCCACCAGCACCUCCUUCGAGAGGUGUUCGAAACAUGUUGACGCUAACUUCCUUAGGGCAUCUAUUCACCUAUUGCUUCCCCUCGGGAUUUGCUUUAUCACAAAAAAUUUUAGGGAACUCGUGAUUCGUUCCACCACUUUCACAUAUUUCUCCAUUCGUUUGUCUUUCUCUUCGAAUUCCCCUGAUACUUGGUGGCUGCUAAGCGCGAAUCCGUUAAGGCUGUGACUCUUUCCGCCCCCAUUUUUACUGCUAGCCUGAGCCCGACUAGCAAGGCUUCGUAUUCUGCUUCGUUGUUGGAAGUACGGAAGUCGAAGCGCAGGGCGUAUGUGACUUCCUCUCCCGUAGGGAUGGCUAAAAUUAGCCUUGCGCCCAACCCUUCUUUGUUGGAGGCCCCGUCUGUAUAGAGGAUCCACAGCUGGUCAUUCUUCUCUGCUGAGCGCCCUUGUUGGUCUGUGUUGGUUACUUCUUGUUAGAGUUCUCCUGGAAUUUCAAGCAAGAAAUCCACUAACACAAGCCCCUUGAUGCUUACCCGAGGGUGGUAACUGAUGUCGUGCUCUCCUAGCUCUAUGGCCCACUUUGCGAGUCGCCCAGAUGUCUCCGGCUUUAGGAGUACCUGCUUGAUCGGGCAAUUAGUCAGUACCUCUAUUUGGUGGGCCUGGAAGUAUCGGUGGAGUCUUCGUGUCGCAUAGACUAGGGCGAGCACCAAUUUCUCGGUGGUUGGGUAGUUUAUUUCGGGUCCCCAUAGGGCCUGGCUCACGAAGUAGAUCGGCAGCUGGCGUUCUUCUCUUUCAACAACCAGCACUGAUGAGAUAGCGCCUUUCGAUGUAGACAAGUACACUUGCAGCAUCUCGCCGGGUAUUGGGCUUGCCAGAGUAAGGAGGGUGUGGAGUGCUUUUUUAUCUUCUGUAGUGCUGAUUUGGCCUCUGUCGUCCAUCAUAAAUUGUUUUUCUCUAUGCAUCUUUUGAGUGUGUGGAAUAGCGGCAUGGCUUUCUUAGCCGACUUGGAGAUAAAUCGGCUAAGCGUUAUCAGCUUUCCAUUUAAGCAUUGUGCGUCCCUCAGCGUACAAGGUGAGGGUGUUUCUUUGAGCUCAUUUACUUUGGUUGGACUCGGCUGAAUUCCUUCUUUCGUCACAUAGUAUCCCAAAAACUGGCCUUCUUCAACCCCAAAAGUGCACUUGGCGAGGUUUAAUUUCAUCCUAGCCCCUCCAACAUUUGUAGCGUUUCCUCCACAUCUCGUAGCAGCUUGCUCUCGUUUGGGCUUUUUAUUACCAUGUUGUCGACAUAAACCUCAAAAUUUCGACCGAGCUGGUGGGCGAACAAGGAAUCAACGAGCCGCUGAUAGGUCACCCCUGCAUUCUUCAGCCCACACGACAUCUUUGUGUAACAAAAGGUGCCAUGAUCCGUGUAGAAGGCUAUCUUCUCUUCAUCGUUUGUGCUCAUUAGGAUUUGGUGAUAUCCUUUGUAUGCAUCUAGGAAGCACUUCCACUGAAAUCCUUGCAAAGAUUCUACUUUUUAGUCUAUUUCUGGUAGCGGAUAACAGCCUUUGGGGCAUGCUUUGUUUAGGUCCGAGUAAUCAAUGCACAUCCGCCAACUACCGUCAUGUUUCCUUACCAUUACCGGGUUGGCGAUCCACAUGGGAAAAAUCGUUUCUCUGAGGAUCCCAACGUUGGUUAACUUUUCUACGUCUGCUUUGAUUGCUUUGUUUUGGUCCCCUCCCUGAACCCGCUUCUUUUGUUUCACUUCCUUGGUUCCUGGUUUUAUCAUCAGCUCGUGUUCUAUGAUUCCUCGAUCGACCCCCACCAUGUCUGUAGGCAUCCAUGCGAAUACAUGUAUGUACUUCUGUAGUAGCUGGACCAGCGUCCCUCUCGUUUUUGCAGGGAGGGUUGUUCUCAUGGUCACUCGCUGGUUGGGGAACUCCCUGUUGAUUACUUCUCCUCCAUCUAACGGGUUUAGUCUUGGUCUUUUGGCCUCAGCUAAGAUGUCUUUCGGUUGCAUGAUCUCAUAACAUUUGAGUUCCCUUGGGGGUGUGGCUAGAAUCAUGCCUAGUCCGUGGCUUAUGCUAAAUUUGACUAUCCCAUGGAUUGUUGACGGGACCGCCCCAAAUCUAAGCAGGGUUGUCCAACCCAAUAUGAUGUUGUGCUCCGACGAGUGUCGUAUGACUACAAAGUCUAUUAGAGCGGUCUGUCGCAUGGCUUUGUCUUGGAUAACUAGCGUAAAUGGCAAGUGAAUCGUACCUAGUGGACAUAGGCUAUGCCCGGUGAAUCCUGUGAGUUGGCACGUGGUUGGCCUCAGUCCCUCUUUCCAUGUGUUUGGUAAUAGCCGAAAACAGUGUUUGUAGAUGAUAUCCGCUGAGCUUCCAGUAUCGACGUAUACCCGGUGAAUGAUUAUAUCUCGGAUGGACGCCUGAACGACGAGGGGUUUGUCUCCGUUCCACCCGGUUAGGGUUGGGUCACGCAUGGAGAAUGUCAACCCCUGCAUUUCUCUUGUAAUAUUUUGUGUGUCUUCCGCACGCUUCACUCUCCCCCUCUUAUGGUGGAUUGUCAGAAUUUCCAGUUUGCGUUCUGCCUUCCCGAAGGCGUCUUUUGGGUUUUCUGCGUCGAACUUAGCCCAUAGGCUUUUGGCGAUUUCUAUGACAUUGCCUUUUAGUUGCUUUUCUUCGAUUGUGACGUGUGUCCUGCUCUUGUGAUACUCACAGCAUCGUGUUUUGGAGCCUUUGGUUUUUGAUCUUUCGUCGACCGUGUAGACUUCUGGUCUUCUUCCUCGCCUAUCGUCCCUGUUGAAGGGUCUAAAACGCCCUGAGGGUCAUCUGUCCCACCCCAUGAACUUGUUGUUCCCCCGAGAGUCGGGAUGAGACGGAGGGUAGCUAUUCUGCCUCCCGGUGGAGGUUGUCAUGGUGUUGAGGUUCGCCUGCUUCGAUGCUUCGCCCUCCUCUUGGUGUAAAAACGUUCAACUCGCUCUUUUAAUUCGGCCCUCGUCUUGUGUUGUUUGCCCAUAAGCUUUUAGGACAACGAGCAUGGUAACAACCCCCAGGUGAACGCACCCGUGAUUAAACUUUCGUCAUGUCCUGGGACGUCUAACGUUGCUUUGGUAAACCGAGCAAACUAGUCUUUGACUGUCUCCUCCUCUCUUUGUUUGCACCCAAUUAUUGAGUGGCAGUCACCUUUGCACUUCCUGAGAUGCAUGAAGUUUGUGAGGAAGAGAUACUUCAGCUGGCUGAAAUUACUGAUGUUGCCCGGACGCGGCGUCUUGAACCAUGUUCUUGCGUUGUUGUCUAAGGUAGUAGGGAAGUAUGUACACUAGAAUCGCUCGUCUAGUUUGAGGGACGUCAUGGUCCACUCAUACGUGUCAAUGUGGCUAUCUGGAUCGGUAGUUCCAUUAUACGUCUUAAGGUGGGGUAGUUUGGUAGUGUUGGGGAUUUCGUACUCCAGGAGUUCUUUAACAAAUGGCGAUGUGACGCUUCGCGAUGAGCAGUCUUGGGUUAGAACUUGCUGAUUGAGGUGGUACCCUGGCGAUUGCAUCGCCAGGAAUGGCUGAACUAGCAUAUUGUUGUAAGCGGUGAGAUCUGGUGUUGCUAGACCAUAGUGGCUAAGCGGUUGAAACAAAGUGGGGAAGCUGUAUGGCUUGGGAAUCUGUUGCUGGGCCACAUGUGUUUGUUGUUGGGCCAUAGGUGUCUGCUGUUGGGUCAUGGGUGUUUGGUGGUAGAACGUAAGUGGCGACGCUGGUGUAUUACCCGCCAUCAGUAAUGGGUGGUUCUAUGAUUUCGAUACAAUACAUGCGCCAAUCAUAGCGCUGUUUGUGUGUACGUUACUUGCUAAGGAUGUGACGGUUGUCAUUUGAUCGUGAUGGGAACCGACGGUGUUGGAGAAAAAGGGUGGCGAGGUGGGUAUGGUGUAUCGGCUGGGUAUGCUAUUGUUUGGUAAUGGUGGGAUGGUCAUGGGAGUCAUGGUGGUUCUGGGGUAGGGCGGCCUGCACAGCCGUGGUAACGGGAGUUGGGAAUGAAUCUGGUGGCGGAGUUGUCACAUGAUACGGUGGUGGACGGCCGAAAGCCGGUGUCGCUUCGAAGGACAACAGCGGGUCACCAGAUGUUGGUGGUAUUUCGGAUGUUGGUGGCUGACCACCGGAUGACGGCACCGCUGGAGUGUCAGUUACCUCCAACGACCCCAUCGGGUGUAUCGGGCUGUGUGGUUUGCGUAUUUAUUGUCACACAAAUGGAUGGCGUCAAAUGAUGCGACCUGGCUCCGAACCACCUGAGCUAUGGAUGAUCGGCGUCCAGCUGGAACCUGAGAGGUCACAGAGAAAGGAAGGCGUCAGUCGUCGUUCGGGAGGAGGUCCCGGAAGAACGCUCUGAUGGUCAAGUUAGUUGGUGAAAUGAGAAUGGGUUUAUAGAGAAUAAAUGUUGGGGUCAAGAGAGCUUACCUUGUCAAGGCCAGAUGAUAGGGACUGCGAUCCCAACAGGAUCUGACGCUCUUAUUAGAGUAGCAUGCUCCACGUUUGUGUCCUGCCCAACGAUUGGUCCAGGCGAUUAUUCUUUGGCCUGGCGUCUUGUCGCCUGAAGCCGUUAUCUUUGGACUGUAGUUAGAUGACCAUGCUUGGCAAGGGCGAGCUUCCUACGUGGUCGCCGCGUAGGAAUCUGGGGUCGUUUGGGACGUCUGGGUCGCCCGGUCGAUUCCUUACUGGUAGCGCCCUGCUAGGGCUCGCCUGUCUCUGACCCGCUCUGAGGGGUGCGCCAUCACCAUCCAUACAGGUUAGUGCUUUCAUUUUAAUGCUAAAUGAAAGACUAAUUGAUAACUUUCUUCCGCCUCUAUUUUCUUUUUCUAAAGUCAAUAAAUGCAUCAUUUUUAUUCUUAAAAUUCAGAAAUACUGAAGCAUUUUUUUUUUGUGUGUUGCUAAGUUUUUUUUCUGGUGUUUUGCUAAUUGAUAACUUUCUUCCGCCUCUGUUUUCUUUUUCUAAAGUCAAUAAAUGCAUCAAUAUUCAAAAUGUUUUCAUUUUGGACUAAUAACAUGAAAAUCAGAAAAUAUAGGGUUCAUCUGUGUGAUUUCUCCUUUCGGUGUUACCCUGAGUUCAUAAUGUAUUUCCAUUUUUUUUUAUAUUUUAGAUUUUGAUUGGUGAAAGCUUUCCACUUUUUUGCCUCUAAAUCAACGAAGGUGAUGCACGAUUUGAUAUAUUUGUUUGGAUGCAUUGAUGGUUAGGUAUAUGUAGUAGGGGAAAGAAUUAAGUUCUACUAGCAAAUAAAAAGGUAACUGCAUAUUACAAUUGCAAUUGGAGAAUAAAAAAUUAAACUCUGCACAAAACUUUGUGUUUGAGAACAUCCCACGUUAGAUACUUGAUGUUAUUUUCUUUUGCUAUCACUUACAUUUUUUGUAGUAUUUAAAUUGUACCUUGAUUAAUUUUAAUUUUUGCAAGAACCUUUUUAAUAUUUUUAGUUUAGUAAAUGAUUAUAUUUGCGUUUGUCUAAAUUGCAUGACUAUAUUUAUAUUAAUCUAAAUGACCGAUUCGUCUAAUGUUUAUUUUUAGUUAACAUAGAAGUUUUGUAAUCAACGAUUAUAACUUUACAUAAAUAAAUAAAAACAUAAAUCUCUUAAUUAAUAAUUUAUUUAAAAUAAUUUAUUAAUAAUUAUGAUUUUUUACCUUAAAAUUUUAAUAUUUUUGCAACCCUGGUUUCCAUGGGUUAUAACCUAAUUAAUACUAUUGUGAUAGAUAUUGUUUUACCCCAAAAAUUAUCAUGUACCAAUUAUUUUUUCCUAUGACAUUUGGUGAACAAAUACAUGGGAGAUCAUUCAAUUACGAGAACAGAUUUCAAGUGGGAUGUUGAACUAAAUUAAAUGCAAAAAUGAGAUCAUCAAGAUUUGUAAUUGGUUUUCUUGAUUCCAAUACUAGACAAAACCAGGUUCAAAAUGAUAAAUAUGCUGCAAAACCUCAAAUUGAGUUUUGUAUAUCAAAAGCGUUAGUUGAGGGUAUGGCUGUAAACGAAUUGUUCGUGAAUCGUUCGGCGGGAAUUUAGUUUAUGUUUGUUUAUUUAAUAGAUGAACGAACAUAAACACAAAUUGUCAUUCGUUUAGUUAAACGAACGAACAUGAACAAUGAUCCCGUUCGUUCAAUUAUGUUCGUGAACGUUCAUUUAAGUUGUCCGUUUAUAUAAGUUCAUUUUAUGCUCAUAUAUGCUUAAUUAUGUUUGAUUAUAUUAUAAUAUUAUAUGUUCAUUUAUGUUCAUAUAGGUUUAAUUAUGUUUGUUUAUCUUUGUUCAUUUAUGUUCAUUUGUUUAUGUUCGUUUUGCAUGCUCACGAACAUAAACCAACGAACAUGAAUAAUGUAAUUUGUUAAAUGAACCAACAUGAACAUGAAAAUUCGUUCGUUUAUCUGUCCAUGUUCGUUUAUUUGUUUGGCUAACUUAAACGAACGAACAGGAGCGAAACACAAGCAAUAAGAGCUAGGGGGCCGAAACUAAAAUUUACAAAAAACUAUAUAUAUAUAUAUAUAUAUANNNNNNNNNNNNNNNNNNNNNNNUAUAUAUAUAUAUAUAUAUAUAAUAUUUAGAAUUUAUCAUUGUAAAUAUAUAUGUAAAAUCAUAAUUACUCCAACUUUAUUAACUUCAAUUUGAUUACCCUUACAUUUGUACCUCGUCUUUUAUUUCUGUGUAGACUUCUUUUAUGUUAGUACUUACUCCAUCUUUAUUACCCUUAUACAAAUAUUUUUAUCACCCAUGUUCAUGACCAGUGCCCUGUAUGUCUAUGAUGUACUUACUGCAUCUUUAUUACCCCUAUACAUACAUCUAUAUCUAUAUCAUAUAAAUAUAUAAAUGAGAUACUUAUCAGUAUCUAGAAACAAAGACGGAGAAAGUAGUAAGAGAUGUUAGCGUAUGAUUUAUGAUCCAUAUGUUUUGUAUGUAUAGAGUAGGCCUAUCUCAUGUUUGGCCCGUUUUCUAUUUUGUAUUGUUCGUGUAUUUAUAUACGUUGGCUAUAUGGAAUGAAAGGGGGAGAGAUACGAAACAUAACAUGGUAUCAGAGCAUAAUAUAGUCUGAUUGCCAUAAACCCUAGCCGACGUCCUUCUUCUCAUCAUCUUUAGGUAUCUGAUCUUUCUUUCAACCUUUCCUCUUGAUUUUUCUUUCUCUCCCUCUCAUCAUGUCAAUCACAGACAAACCCUCCUCUACAAUUAAUAUCAAACAUGCAGUCCCAUUCGUUCUAGACUUGGAUCAAAUGAAUUAUGAUAUUUGGCGAGAACUAUUCGAAAUUCACUAUAUCGGGUAUGGUGUCGAUGAUCAUCUCAAGUCCUCUGCUCCAAUAACGACUGAAAAAGAAAAAGAAAAGGAAAAAGACAAAGAAACAGAAGAAUCAAUGUCUGUGAAGGAUGCAUGGGUUCGCAAGGACUCUAUCGUAAAAUCAUGGCUAUAUGCCACUCUCUCUAUCCCUCUUCUCAAUAUGAUAUUCAAGAAGCAAGCAACAGCUUUUGAAAUCUGGGAAAAUCUUGAAAAAGUUUUUCGCGAUAACAAAGCCUCGAAAAUCAUUCAGCUUGAUCGAGAAUUGAGAAACAUCUCUCUUGGUAACUCUUCCAUCACAGAAUACUGUAACAAAAUCAAAUCCCUUGCUGAUAGAUUAGAACACAUGGAUGCUAAGGUGUGUGAAAUUAACCUGGUGGCAUAUAUGAUUAAUGGACUGUCUAAGAAGUUUCAGUACAUAGCUAUUAAUAUCCGACACAGGGACCCGCCUCCAUCUUUUUGGGAUGCUAGAUCUAUUCUCCUUUGUGAAGAACAACAGAUGCUUCUCGAUGAAUAGAAGGAAUCUCUCCACAGACAUGCCGACACUUCAUCCUCCUCACACGCUCUCACUGUUCAGAACUCAAACACCAACUCAUCUCAAUGGCGUAAUAACUUCACCAACAGCAGUAGUAAUCGAGGCGGCUAUCGUGGGGGACGCGGUGGCCGUCGUGGUGGUCGGGGAGGAGGGCGCUAUGGCGGUCGGUAAAACAAUGGCGGCGACGGCACUUUUUUGAGUGGCAGUCAAUAGCAACACAAUCAGCGACAGGGUAAUUGGGUUUGGUCCUACGCCCCUCAACCACAUCACAUAUUAAAUCAGCAAGGCCUUCUGCCAAGCCCAGGUGUUUUUCAGCAUCAGGAAAAUGGGCCCAGAGCACAUCCAUCCCAACAGAACAAUAACCAACAUCAGUUUUUUUCACAAGCCCAACAGCCUUUUUCUCACCAACAAGCAUAUCAAGUUCAACAGCAAAAUCCCGAGCACACUGCACUUCCACAAAUGUUCAAUACUAUGACAUUAAAUGAUUCGGGCUCAGCUGAAUGGUACAUGGACACUGGUGCAACCUCGCAUCUUCACUCAAAUGCAGGUAUACUCAAUUCUGUUUCAGAUAAAAUUAGUAAUUCUUCUUCAUCUGUAUUAGUUGGUGAUGGAUCUUUAAUACCUAUGACUAAACUGGUCACACUACUCUUCCGCUUCCUAAUCCUUAUCGUACCUUGACUCUUCAGAAUGUUUUAAUUACCCCCUCUAUAAUUAAAAAUUUAAUUUAUGUUCGUCGUUUUGUUCGUGAAAAUGACUGUUCCAUUGAAUUUGACACUUUUGGUUUUUCUGUGAAGGAUUUCCGCACCAAACAAAUUCUAAUCCGAUGUGACAGCCACAGUGAUCUAUAUCCCGUCACUUUUCCAAAAAAAUCAAGCUCUCGUUUCCGUUGCUCCAUCCAUUUGGCAUCGACGUCUUGGCCACCCCGGUCACCACAUUUUCAAGCAUUUAGUUCACAAUCGCUAUAUUUCGUGUUCAUCUAAUAAAAACCCUACUUUAUGUUAUUCAUGUCAACUGGGCAAACAUGUUAAAUUGCCUUUUAGUUCAUCUAUUUCUGUCUCUCACUUUCCUUUUGAAUUAAUACACUCUGAUGUUUGGACUUCUCCUAUUGAAAGUUUGAGUGGUAUUAAAUAUUAUGUCAUAUUUUUAGAUGAUUUCUCUCAUUAUGUAUGGGUCUACCCUAUUCGUGCCAAAUCCGAUGUUUUUGACAAAUUUGUGAAUUUUAGGAAUUUCGUCAAUAAUCAAUUUAAAACUGAUAUCAAGUCUUUUCAAUGUGACAAUGGAGGUGAAUAUGACAAUCAAAAAUUUCAUCAACUCUUCUCUCAAACCGGUAUCCAAUUUCGGUUUUCGUGCCCUUACACAUCUCAACAAAACGGAAAAUCCGAACGCAUGCUCCAUACUUUAAAUAACGCUAUUCGUACUCUUUUAUUUCAUGCUCGGCUUCCUCCAACUUAUUGGACCGAAGCUCUUCAUAUGGCGACUCAUCUUAUAAACAUUCUUCCCUCCACCACCCUCAAUAAUGACACUCCCUUUUUUAGAUUACACAAUCAAAACCCAUCUUAUGACCACCUUCGUGUGUUCGGUUGUCUCUAUUUCCCACAUAUUGAUGCUCAUCACAAACUUUGCCCAAGAUCAACUCCAUGUAUUUUUCUUGGAUACCCAACUAACCACAAAGGGUAUCGUUGCCUCAAUCUUGACACAAAUCAAAUCAUCAUAUCUCGCCAUGUAGUAUUUGAUGAAACUGUUUUUCCAUUCGGGUCAAUGACACCAAACAAAGCUCCUUCCUACACAUUUCUUGAUGAUCUCGACUCCUCUCACCCUCUCACUUCAACACCGGUUCCAACUCAUAUUGGUCCGACUAUCGCCCCCUCUAUACCGUCACAUAUGAACCCACCACCCCAAACUCUCUUUCAAUCCUCAGACCCAUCUCCUCCAACACCCACAAGCUCAGAUCAACCUACUUCACCUUUGUCUAUCAGCCCUAACGAUUCUCAUGACUCUCCUUCUUCCCCUAUAUCGUCGACCAUUCCUCAAACCUCUACUCACUCACAGCAUCCAAUGCUUACUCGUGCUAAACAAUGCAUAUUUAAACCCAUUCGAAAACUAAACCUUCAUGUUGACACCACUGCUCCUGUUCCCAAAAAUUAUCUCCAGGCUUUUAAGGAUCCUAAUUGGCUUAAUGCAAUGAAUGAUGAAUAUACUGCUCUUAUCUCUAACAAAACUUGGGUACUUGUUCCGAGACCUCCUGAUGCUAACAUCGUUAAUUGUAUUUGGUUGUUCAAAAAGAAACUUAAUGCAGAUGGGUCAUUAUCGCGCUACAAGGCGUGUCUUGUUGCUAAUGGUCGCAGUCAAAGCCCUGGUAUCGACUGUGACGAAACUUUUAGUCCAGUUGUGAAGCCAGCUACUAUCCGCACAGUCCUCAGCAUUGCCAUCACCCAUAAGUGGCCUAUCAGACAACUAGAUGUGAAGAAUGCAUUUCUUCAUGGACAUUUGCAGGAGACAGUAUAUAUGCACCAGCCACCGGGUUUUCGGGAUCCUUCUCGCCCUGAUUACGUUUUCUUACUUCAGCGACCGUUGUAUGGUCUCAAGCAAGCACCACGAGCAUGGUUUCAGCGCUUUGCUACUUUUAGCUCACGUAUUGGCUUUGUUCAUAGCAGAUGUGACUCCUCGUUAUUCAUAUACAGACAGGGCACUCAUAUAGCAUAUGUGUUACUAUAUGUAGACGACAUUGUUCUUACAGGCUCCUCUUCUCAGUUUUUGGCUCACAUCAUUUCUCUAUUAAGUGCAGAGUUCUCUAUGACUGAUCUUGGGGAUCUUCACUAUUUUCUAGGUAUCUCUGCCACUCGUUCGUCUGACGGCUUGUUUUUAUCUCAACACAAAUAUGUCACUGAGAUUCUUGAUCGGGCAUCUAUGACAAACUGCAAACCUGCAUCUACGCCAGCCAACUUGUUCGCUAAGUUUGAUGGAACUGGUCCUGCUGUUGCUGACCCUACCUUAUAUCGCAGUCUGGCUGGUGCAUUACAGUACCUUACAUUCACUCGUCCGGAUAUUACGUAUGUUGUUCAACAGAUAUGCUUAUACAUGCAUGAUCCACGGGAACCUCAUUUCACUGCUCUCAAGCGCAUCUUGUGAUAUCUUCGAGGUACUGCUACGCAUGGCCUACACUUAUAUACCUCUCCCAGUCGUUCCCUCGUUGCCUACUCUGAUGCUGACUGGGCUGGAUGCCCUGUCACCCGUCGCUCUACGUCUGGUUAUUGUGUUUUUUAGGACCCAACCUUCUCUCAUGGUCCUCCAAAUGUCAGAAUACGACUUCACGGUCCAGUGUCAAUGCCGAAUAUAGGGGAGUUGCCAAUGCUGUUGCUGAAGCAUGUUGGAUUCGUAAUCUUCUUCUAGAACUUCACUAUGUCCCUGCCAAGGCUACCAUUGUUUAUUGUGAUAAUGUAAGUGUAGUUUAUAUGUCAUCCAAUCCUGUCCAUCAUCAACGUACGAAGCACAUAGAGAUUGAUUUGCAUUUUGUUCGAGACAAAGUUGCUACGGGUCAUGUGCGUGUUCUUCAUGUCCCGUCUUCUUUGCAAUAUGCGGAUAUUUUUACGAAGAGUCUUCCGUCAUCAUUGUUUCUUGAGUUUCGAACCAGCUUGAACGUUCAUGACUCUCACCACGUUCAACCUGCGGGGGGCUGUUAGCGUAUGAUUUAUGAUCCAUAUGUUUUGUAUGUAUAGAGUAGGCCCAUCUCUUGUUUGGCCCGUUUUCUGUUUUGUAUUGUUCGUGUAUUUAUAUAUGUUGGCUAUAUGGAAUGAAAGGGGGAGAGAUACGAAACAUAACAAGAGACUCAUAGUCUUAAGUGAUAUGAAGAGAGACAAAGAGAAAUUUGUACAUGCGUUGUGGAGUCAGCGGAGAAGAAAGCAGUGGUGGUCCGACGCUGGCGACUCGGGGAGGAGAGAGAAUAAGGAGCCGGCAGAGAAGAUUUUGCUGAACCCGAAAAAGGGACAGAGCAAGAAAUCCGGUGAGUUAUAAGUUACACGAGUGCAUAACAGUUAUUGUUUCAAAUAAAAGAAACGGAGGCGAUAGUAUUUUUUGGGUUUAUGAAAUUGAAGAUGUAAGUAAAUAAUUGAUUUUAUGGUAUUUUUAUUUGCUUAUUUGUAAGUUUCCAACUUUUUAUACGAUUAUUUUGUAUAUUUCCUGCUUUCUAGUUAAAUUAGUUUUUCUUAGUAAGUUACCUGAUAAUACAUGGUUACUUUUGGAUUUCUAAAAAUCUUAAGUUUAAUUACUGAUAUUCAGUAGAAAAAUGGAGAGGGGCCAGUGUUUUAAUUUCUUAGAAUAUUAACUUAUAUAAUCACGAUUCUAUAGUUGUUGCUAUUUAGUAUAAAAAAAAACAGGGGUAGCCCCUUCUAUGUUCCGCCUCUGCGAACGAACAUGAACAAACUCUCGUUCGUGUUCGUUCGGCUCAUUUACAACUCUAGUUGAGGGGUAUGUUUUACUAAAAUUUAAACAUAAAAGAGUUUGGAGAGAAAAUUAUUUUAUUUAGCUAAAUACAAUUAACUUAACCUACUUAAACCAUUUUUCAGUUUUAAAAUAAGAUAAUCAAAAAAUAACAUUUAUUUUAUAAACAUAUUAUAAAAUUGUACUUUAUAAUAGCAACCAUGUCAUCCGGCCUAUAUUUGAACGAAAAUGCCAGGUUGCUCAGCGAGGAGAGGAUAGUAUGCUCAUAUAUAUGAUACAUAAAAGAAGGUAGGUUUUGAUUGUUCGUUGAUUAGUACACCCCUGAUGCUUGUAAUUAAAGACGAGAUCAAGGUUGUACGUCUCUGGUAAGUUGGCUUUCUUUGUGAUAUCGACCAACCAAGUGGGUUGGUUUAUCUAUUCUUUUCUAUUGAAAAACUAGUUGUGAAACUCGUAUAUUAUAUGGGUUAAUUAAAACAUAAUGUUAAAUAAGAGCGAUUAAAUGAGAAGUUUAUUUGAGUUUGAAAUACGAAAUAAGUGAAAAUUAUGAAAAAAAAAAACAUGCAAAAAAGAAAUUAAUUAAAAUUAUGUGUUUAAUUGAUAGACCCGUGUACUAAAUGAGUUAUUAUAAUAAAAUGUUAAAUACAAUGGUUUAAAGUGUAAAUUUAUUUGAAAUUGAAAUUGAAAUUUUAAAUUUCAAAUUUGAAAUUAAUAGUUAUUAUAGUAGGUUUAAUUUAUGGAAACUAAAUUAAUAAUAUAGUGGAAAUGAAUAAUGAUGUAAUUGACAAGUGGAAAAUAAAUAUAUUUCAAAAUUAUAACAAAAUGACAUGUGGCAAAUUAAAUGAGAGAAUGACAAGUGGCAAUAACAUUUUCAUUUAUUAGGGUAGAUAGUUAGUUGUCUGCAUGAUCCGUUUCUUUUUCAAAUUUUGCAAAACCUCUAUUGUGUUUGAAAAUUUGUUAAUUUUUAACAUAUUUUUCGAUUUUCGAACAUGUUUUUUAUCAGAAACUAUUUUUUGAUAAAGGUUAUUCCAAAACUCUUUGUGAGUUUCGAUCUUGUUCUUUACUAUAACUUUACUUCAACUUGUUCUCUAUGUUAUAUAGAGGAGUGAUUGUACAUAUUAUAAAGAUAUGUCACUUGAACUAUCUCUUUUUUAUUUUAUUAUAAGAGGUAUAUAGAAAUAAAAUUAUGACAUGUCUUAUUUAUUUUUAGUGAACUAUUUUNNNNNNNNNNNNNNNNNNNNNNNNNNNNNNNNNNNNNNNNNNNNNNNNNNNNNNNNNNNNNNNNNNNNNNNNNNNNNNNNNNNNNNNNNNNNNNNNNNNNNNNNNNNNNNNNNNNNNNNNNNNNNNNNNNNNNNNNNNNNNNNNNNNNNNNNNNNNNNUAUAUCAAGAUUUUUAAAUUCUAUAUUUUAUAUUUCAAUAGCCAAAAUAACUAAUUUAUUCAAGGUAUAAUGUAACAUCUCGAUUCCCUGUAUUUUAGUGACCCUUGAUAUGAGAAUUAUUUGUAUUUUCAUCACUAAUGGCAUUUUUGUAAUUUUUAGGAGUGACUUGCAUACGCUGAGCAUACCCAAACGUAUGUUGGACGUACGUGGCAUGGUCCAAAACUCUAAUAUUUAUGGUUUGCACCCUAUUUAAAUCUCAUUAUAGCCUCAAAAACCUUUCAUUCAUCAGCCUCCAUCCUCCAACUCUAACCUAGCUAACCUUAAUCCAUUUUUAGAGCAUCUUUGAGCCUUGAAUAUGUAUUUUGGUGAUCUUGAAGGAGGAAGAAGGAAGAAGAGACCAUCUUAGAAGAGUGAAGCACUUUGGAUCCAAAACACAUCAUCAUUUGGCACUACUUUGAGGUAAAAAAAAACUCUAACAUUGAUGAAGUUUUGCUUAAAUCUUGAUUAGCCAUGGAUUGUGUUCAUUUUGGUCCCAUAAGCUUGAUGUAUUUGAUUAUGGGUUACUCUAAUUUAUUUGAAUUGUCCUUUCAGACAUUUUAGAGUAUUUAGAGCCAUAAAAAUGUAAUCUUGGCUCUUAGUUUCUUUCCAUGCACAUGCUAGAAUGUCUUAAUGGGUUAAUAAGUUAGAAUUUUUGUUGUUGGACACCUUCUAGACAUGUUAAGUCAUAAAGUUGGGAACUUUAUGACUUAGGGCAACUUUUGGGACUAGAUCUGAUCAUUUGACGUGUUGGCUUAAUGAAUUAAGAGCUUAAAAGAAAGUUGGUGGUUCGGCAGAGUACGUUGGGCGUACCAGUUGGUAGGUUGGCGUACUUGGUCAGCACCCCGUAACCUGGUCAAUGGCGAACUACGUUGCACAUAGUUACUGAGCAUGUUGAGCAUACUCAUUCAGGAGGCUUCCUUGACUUUUCUUGACUUGUUGACUUUGAUCCUUUGACCAGAAGUUUGACCAAGAUUGAAUUAGGGGUAUUUUAGGUAUUUUGAGUUGUGGUUGCGCUUGGGUCACUUUUAUUGUAUAGGUGACUGGUAGAGUCAGCAUUUAGAGUGGUGAUCUGCUUAAUGUUCUUUUCUGCUUUCGUUCAGACUGUGAUGUGAGUUUUCCUCACUGUACUUAUGGUUCGAAGGCACCAAAGUUGUCCCACAUGAUUUUGUAUCCUAGUUAUUUUGUAUUAUUGCUAUGUUGAGUAUGUGUUAGAAUGGUAGAUUUGUAUGAUUACGUGUGUUCACUGUGUAUACGUUAGAGUGGUAGAUCUGCAUGAUUACAUGUUUGCUAGUUAUUGAUAGUUAUGGUACAUGUCGACAUGUUGUGGUUGUUAGGUUGAGGUGGCCUUGCUUUGUGUUGAAGCCCAAGAUACCCAGGGCAGUUCGGAUAGGAUAUAGGCCCUAUGUGGCGGUCCAGUCAGGCCAAAGGUCUGUAGAGCGGUGAAGAUAGGAUGUAGGCCAACGUGGCGGUCCAGUCAAGCUGAAGGCCCAUGUUUGCUUGCGGUUAUCUGUUUGGUUGUGUGUGGUACUUUGGGGGGAAAUCACUAAGCUUUGGCUUACAGUUUCAGUUUAUUGUUUCAGGUACUUCAUACGAUCGUGGGAAAACAAAGGCGUAAUCGUGCACACAUCCUCUCGAUUUUAUGAUUAUGGAUUUUGGAAUACUUUGAUUUUAUUAUUACUCUUGGAAACAAUGUUUUGUAAGCAAUUAUGGUCUAUGGUUUGGUUUUGAAAAAUUGAAAAUUUUACUUAGAUUUUUUGGAUGUUGCAUAUAACCCAUAAAGAAAUAAUCUAAUACAAAAUAAUAUUUUUUUUAAAAAAAAGGAAAAAAACAAUAAAUUAACGUUGUUUCCUUCUCAUAUAUUGGAAAAAAUGUUUUGAAAAGUAUUAGUAAUGAUAAGGUUGUGAAAAUCUAUCAAGAUACAAGACCUUGAUGAAUACAAUUGUAAGAACUUAUUAUUAUUUAUUAUUAUUAUUAUUUUCUAAUACAAUUCAACCUACUCAUAACUAGUGUGCAUGUNNNNNNNNNNNNNNNNNNGUGUGUGUGUGUGUAUAUAUAUAUAUAUAUAUAUAUAUAUAUAUUUGAUUUUCUAGAUGUUUCAUUUAAAUAGUGAAUCAUUCGGGUUUACGUUAUACACUCGUCACUAGUUAUUCAAUUAAAAUGACAUAAAGUUAUACUUUCUCAUGAAAUUAGUUUCAUAGAAAAACCUAAAAAUAUAAGGAAUAAAUGAUAAACUUGAAAAGGAGUAAAAAAGAAUGAUAACAAGCGAUGUUGGGUGAAUAUGAGAGAAAAAAAUUAAAAAUAAAGUUGGCAAGACAUUGACUUCAAAACUCCUAUCAAGGGUGCGUCGACAAAACUAUUUGCUAGCUAGAAGUUGAGAGUUAUAACUUUUAUUUAUAUAUAACUGUUUGGUAAAAAUAGUUGUAAACUUUUAAAAUAUGUAAACUUGCAUAUCAUCAAAAAGUUAAAAUCCUAUUAACGUGAACUGGUCCUUUUUCUUGAUUCUUGAAUGGUUAACCUUAGCUAAAUGUUGGGAUUUAUAAUUGCAAUCAAUAUGAACAAAAGUCCACCAUUUUCUAAAAGAGGUUUUUCGGGAGAACGCUAUGACAGUUAAGCUAAAGCUUUUAUGAUAUGGUAAUAUGUAUGUCAGUAUGUGUGUGUGUGUGAGAGAGAGAGAGAGAGCGAGAGAGAGAGAGAGAGAGAAAGAGAGAGAGAAUGUACAGUCGUGUGUUGGUCCUUUAUAGUUAAGGGUAUUAGGACUUGUAGCCAGGAUAGUAGUGUCGGUACCUUUUCAGGGUGACAACUCUCAUUGGUGCGUUAGACACUCUUUCUUCAGUCGACAUAUUAAAAGGAUAUCAAUUAAGAUUAGAAGCCCUAAUAAACAAAAGUAGGGAUUUAUUUAUUUUAUAAUGUAGUUUAAUUAUAUACUAAAAUGACUAAAAAUGAUGACAUGUAAAACAUAUAGUCGUGGGCAUCUUUGGUUAAACUAACUAGUGGAUGGUAGUUGAAAGUGAAAACUGCAACUUUAAAUUGUGUAGAUUUAUUUGGAAAAAAUAGCUUUUACAUAUAGAAAAAAAGCUAAAAUUCUCAAAAUCUAUAAAAAAUAGAUUUUUAAUUAUGAAUUUUUCGUUUAAAAUAAAAGCUUAAAACUCUUAUAAAUUUGGCAUGAUUUUAUGGGUAUUACAAGUUGGUAUCAAAGCCUUGGUUUGAGUGAACUGGAGGCACACUCGUGUGAAUCCAGUCUCAAAUCAAGGAAAGAUUUUCAAAAUGAUUUCUAAAUGGUUUUCAAAAUAAGUAAAAGAGGAUGCAGAGUGUACGAUCAGCCGGAGCCAGUAACUAGACCCCAAAAUACCAUGCAGUUAUUUGAUCAUGUGAUAUGUUAGAACAACAUGCUAGUACUAGGCUAGGGAUCUUCAUGAAUUGCAUGUUACAAAUUGUCUGAUUACAUGAUGUCUGAUAGCCUAGGGUUUACCUUAUAUGAAAUUGACAUCAUUACUGUAGUUGCUUAGCAUAUGCAUCGCGGCCGUACAUUAUUAAGAUCUUAUAGCCUGAGAAUGUUUGGUUUGGCCUUAUUUCAUGUUCUUGUUUGAUGAAGGGAUUAGGGUAGGAUCAUGUAUUCGAAAGUCUAUAGGGUCCAAUGAUAUGUAUGGCUAGCAUACACGAGUGUUGCAGGGUUGUUGGAAGUUUCAUGGGUGGGUUGUGUGAGGCUGGUACGUCAGUUACGAGAUAGUUAGCCUUCCUCUAGGAGUGAGGAUUGAGCGACCACCAUGUAUAUGUAUAUUAUUAGGGUGUUUUGGUGAAACUUGAGACAGAUAUGGGUAGGUGUGGAAGGUAGUAUGGGCCCGUACUACUGAAAGCACAGGACCCAUACGCGUAGUAAGGAAGUCACAACCCCUAGGGUUUAGUUGGGAGUUGGUUCCCUGUUAUUUGUGCGAAUUAUCUGAUAUCUUCCUGGUGUAUUUUUAGUAUGGUGAUUACGAGGCAUUUUGUGAUUGGAUCCGGAUCGGGAUCAGGGCAGGACUAUCAGGUUGCCCCUGUAGCACCCGAGAUCAUCAGUCGGGAUGUGCCAGCAUUAAUAGAGGACCGAUUCAGGGAGAUCAUCCACAAGGAGGUGGUCGACAUUGUCUAGGGCAGAUACCGGAAAUGUUUGGGGCUAUCAAGACCGGUAUGAUGGAGUAUUUUGAUGACAGGUAUGUAGCCUUAGUCGAGACGACUGUUGUAUCAGCUACGACAGCUGUAACAGCGACAUAGGGGAGCUAGUGGGGGCUUCCAGUACCAGGACUUCGAUAACACGAAGCCCCUAACCUUUGAUGGGACUCAGGAUCAGAUCAUAACCAUGAGGUGGCUGUCUGACGUGGAGGGAUGUUUCUUCACGUGCUUAUGUCCUGUUGACCAGAAGGUUAGAUGUGCCUUGAACUUGCUAAAUUUUGGGGAAAAGGACUGGUGGAGAUUGAUGAUUGGGUCAUAUACGAAUGGAUAGAGGGUUGUUGUUACUUGGGAGCAGUUCAGGGAUAUGUUCUGCGCUCGCUACAUCCCACAGGUCAAGCGCGGGCGGCUAUCGUAGGAUUUCUUAGAUCUGAGACAAGGUACGGAUUCGGUAAUGGAGGUCACUUGCAUGUUUACUGAGAGGGUGAUGUUUUGCCCGAAGUUUGCUUUCGACUAGGCUCAGAUGACACAUUAUCUGAGCAUGCUCAAGAAUGAAAUCCGUCAGUUUGUUGCCACCAAGAGAUGUUAUACAAUGUUGGAGUUACAAGAGGCCGCUAGGCAUCGUGAGUUAUAGAUUGAGCUGCAGUUGAGGGAGCAGCGACAGGCCCCAACACAGUCACAACCGGCGCCGAAGCGGUCUAAGACCGCUGAUACUAGGUAUGGGGUACAGUCAGGCCGCACUUGUGGGAAGUGCAGAAAGGCUCAUUCGGGGAUUUGCCGAUCAGGGAGCGGGUGCCACAAAUGUGGCAAGCAAGGCCAUCUGGCCAGGGAUUGCAGGGAGCAUACUCCAGCUCCCGGAGUCAGACAUUGUUACCAUUGUGAGUAGGUGGGCCAUAUAAAGGCCCAGUGUCCCCUACUAGCCGCCAAGCCGGCGUAGGAUCCCACGCCUGCUACACUGAGGAUUACUGACGAGAGGUCGGGCAGAGUAGAGCCCUCGAGGGCUCAGGAACGCGCCUUCCAACUCACAGCAGAGGAGGUCAGGGCAACACCAGAUGUGGUUACUGGUAUGAUUAUAUCCCUUAUCUUACUGAUUAUAUCUAUUUUAUGCUUAUCUGUUUCUACUUGUGAUUAGGUAAGUUUUUAAUGAGCUCCUUACCUUCCUUGAUGUCAUUUGACUCGGGGGCGAGUCGGCCAUUUGUCUCUCAGACAUUUAGUAGGGAGUUCAGUGUGCCAUUAGGAGAGCUAGAGUGUCCGUUGUGAGUCUCUAUCUCCAACGAACAUAUGGUUUUUGCUUCUUCAGUCUAUCGGAGAUGUGAGUUGGAGAUCUUCGGAGUGUCCUUCCCGAUAGACUUGAUUCUGAUUCCCAUGGGGGAAGUGUGUGUGAUUGUGGGUAUGGACUGGCUGAGUAGAUUCGGUGGCAUGAUCGACUGCGAGGGUCAGCGAGUAGUGGUUCGAACCCCAGGUAGGGGAGAACAGAUUGUCUAUGGUGAGGGUUCCAAAUUGGGAUCAUGGUUUUGUUCAACUUCCAGGGCUCGACAGUACAUUUAGCACGGGUGUGCUGGAUAUCUAGCGUAUGUUGUGGAUACACGGGCCAGAGAUCAGAUUUCAGUUUCAGAGGUUCCAGUGGUCAGGGAUUUUGCUGACGUGUUCCUAGAGGAGUUACCAAGAGUGCCUCUGGAGAGGAAGGUCGAGUUUAGGAUCGACCUAGUGCCAGGUGCGGCCUCUAUCGCCAAGGCAUCGUACCAGUUUGCACCACCAGAGAUGCAGGAGUUGUCAUCAUAGUCGCAGGAACUGUUGGGCAAGUAGUUCAUUCGGCCAAACAAUUCCCCAUGGGGAGCACCGAUUCUUUUCUUCGGGAAGAAGUAUGGUUCACACCGGAUGUGCAUCGAUUACCGGGAGUUGAACUAGUUGACAGAGAAGAACCGUUAUCCAUUCCCAAGGAUAGAUGAUCUUUUCGAUCAGUUGCAGGGGGCAUCUUGGUUCUCCAAGAUAGACAUGAGGUAUGGGUAUCAUCAGGUCAAGGUUAGGGAAGAGGACAUGGAGAAGACCGCAUUCCAGACUUGUUAUGAUAACCCGAGAUUUCUAUCUUGUACAACCAUUCAACUCAAUCAAAGUCAGACUUGUUUCUGCUAUCUUUCAGCACUGUUUAGGGUCUGUUUGAGUGUUCUAAGCCUAGUACAUCCAAGGAUCGAGUGUUAGGAAGUAUCAGCUGAAGUUCAAAAGCACCAAGCAAGCCAUAAGCUCCAUAAUGAGGAGUUUACGACCACAACACAUGAGUUUAUGGCCGUAAACUCAUGGUGGCCAUAAACUCAUGGCCUUAAGUAUGAUAUUCCUUCACUUUUCCUCAUUCAUCACCAUUACAAGUCAAGAAACCCAUUUCUCUCUCAAGUAUCAUAAGGAUCUUCAUUUUUAUCUUCAAAAAUGUAAUUGUUUCAUCCUUUGAUUAGUUGAUAAAUCUCCUUAACUAGCAUCACCCUUUGCUUUCAUCCAUGAAAUUCAUCUUUUGGGGUUAGAUCUUCAAGAACACCAAGAACACACACUAGUUCUUUGGUCCAAAAACAACCAAUUCCCAAGAUCGAUAAAAGUUUACGGCCAAGAGCAUCUCCCUUGGCUGUAAACCCUUGUUAAGGCUCCUAGUUUGGCCAUAAACUCUUCUUAAGGCUAGGAAUGGGUCUUGAACACUUCCUUGAUGCUUGAAAGACCUUAAAACACCAUUUGGCACAAGACUUCAUGAGUUUACGGCCGUAAACACGUAGGGCCGUAAACCCUAUGGUCGUAAACACAAAGGGUCGUGAACACCUUGGCCGUAAACACCAUUGUGUGGCCAUACACCCCUUAUAUGUAGUCAUAUGUGAUUCUAACACCUCCAUUCAAGUGUUUCCUUGUCCCUAAGGUAUUUUCCCUUACAUGAUUAGUUGUAUAAUCUUUAAUUAUAUACAUAUAUGUGUCAUUAUAUGCUAAAUAGGAUCUGUGUAUGCUCAAGUCUUCACUUGAAACUUAGCAUCCUAUACCACUCUUUCAUCCAAACCAGUCACUACAGGUGAGUUCAUAUCCCUUAAUCUACCUUUUAAAUGAUUUUAAAUGCUUUUAUAUUUGGUGGGGGGGAUACAAGCUGAACAUUAUAGUUAUUGAAUCAAUCACAUAUGAUUAAUAACCAUCAAACAUAUGGAUUUCUUAUACUUCAAGAUGUUUAUCAAACAAAAUCUUUCAAAACAUUGUAUCAAACUCUUUUACAUGCUAAACUCUUUAUCAAACUCUUUUAAACUUAUAUAUUGUGAAAACCAUGUCUAUACAGAUAUAGUUAUAUAAACAAGGUUGGAAGGACUUAGGACUGAUAACUCACUUUAUUUCUUGUUCCUUGUUUGGUUGUGGACUUAGAGUUCCCUGUUGUUUGUCCGAGUGUCGUUUGAAUCUUAGUUAUAUAUUAUGUAUAUGUGUAUAGAUAUAAAAGCUUUUACCUCAGUUUAAUACCUUUGGGAAGCAAAGGUAUACAAACAUACACAGUUAUUCAAACAAGACUACUAGUAAACUAUAAUAGGUAUAGUUUAGAAGUAUACUGCUCACUAUUUCUAGUGCAAAGAAACAUAAGAGAGUCAGUUCAUACAUGAUUCAGUUCAAACAUACUAUAAUGAGAAACAGAAGAACAUACUAUAACGAGAAACAAAGAGGGACAUACUAUACACUAUACAAGAGAACAUAUAAUAUACUAGUACAGAGGGAAAAUACUAUACAAAUACAAGAAUACUAUAACACUAAUGUGAGCCACUACUUCAUGGCAUGGCAACCUACAGUCGUGUCACGUUUUGUAACUAGGGUCUCCUGGAGGGAGAGCAUGAAUUUAUGUAUAGAUCUAUACUGGACUGACCAUUCUACACCUUGCUGCUAGCUACAGUGGGACCUGCAGGUCUGCGGGUGACAAAUUUAGAAAAUAUAGGAUUUUCUAGGAUAUACAAACAUUUACUACAAACAUUUACUUUAUACAUUUACAAACAUUUUCUUCAAACAUAUACAAACAAAUGACACUAUAGUACUUAUGAACACCAGCUUUAAUGCUGAUAAACUCUUUCAAACAGGUCACUAGUAGACAGGUACAGAUGGCCAGAUUUUGAGAAGACGAAGCGCAUUCAAGACUCGUCUUUAUUUUGAUUAUUCAUUUUUGGCGUCUUAUAUUACUAACACAGAACACUUGUAUUGAAUUAUACUAUUGAUGCAAUGGAUGAUGUUGUUGCUUGUUUACUAUAUUUCGUUGUUAUGAUACUGUACAUUAGGGAUGUUAUUCGGGUCGGAACCGAACCGAGCCGACCCGAACCCGAAUAAACCGAAAACCGAAUAAGGGUAAUUAUAUGAACCGAAAACCGAACCAAAUAAGCAAUACGGGUUCGGUUCGGUUCGGGUAUUAUUCGAUUCGGUUCGGUUCCGGCCCGAAUAACCCAAAUAACAUGUACAAGAUGAUUAAGGAGCCGAAUAACCCAAAUAACAUUUACAAUGUGAUUAUAAAUAUUGUAUUUUGUAUGACUUUUGUAGCUUAUGAUAAACACAAAUAACACGUAUUAACUAUUCUUGAUAUAUAAAAUGUAAAAUCCAACCACCACAUUCUUAAGAUAUAGUUAUUAAGCAACAUAUUAAACACUAAACAUUAAACAUUUAAAACACCCAAAAAUCUAUCUAUAAGUAUAUAAGUUAAACAUUAAACAUUACGUGGGUAUUUUGGGUAACGAUCGAUAGAACACAAGACCGAAUAAGAAAUCGUGCAAGUGGAAAAAAAUGUGACUUUUCAUAUUCGGUUCGGUCCUUUUGGACCGAAUAAGCCCUUAUUCUGGUAACCCGGACCGAAUAACCCGAAAACCGAAUAAGCCUUAUAUAGAUACCCGAAAACUGAAUCGAAUUGCUUAUUCGGGUCUAAUUCGGUUCGGUUCGGGUUUUCGGGCCAAAUUCUCAUCCCUACUGUACAUGACGUCCUCCGCCCCAGAAUGUUUCCGUCAUUCCUGUUUUUGGGUGUGACAGAUUGGUAUUAGAACAUUGUUUAUAGUGAAUUGAGUAUAUCAACCCAUAAAAGAUAUACAAACUAUAAACACAAAGGGAUUAAAAUACUCUGACCAAGAGUUUAUACUUUUUAAAUAAUAAAAUAUUUAACUAAAAGUAUACAUACUUGCAUUCAUACUAGGAUCAGUGACAUACUAGAACAGAACAAAGUAUUACGAUUGUGGAACAGUACAAGUAGACUUGGGGAUGUAUGGUUAGUUUUGGGAAUGACAUAGCCUGAUCGACUAUGUUGGUCCGAGAAGUGAUUAGCAUAUGCCCAAGAAUGGUUGUGAUGUUGCAACAAGUCUAAAAACCUACCAACACUACUAAAAAGAAGCUUGAAAUACUAUAGGAGCAUUUUGUGUACUAUAAUUACUUAUGUGAAAAAUAAAAAGGUCUUUACUAGUAGGUCAAUAAUUGCUUAGUGGAUACCAUAAAGUUAUAUGUAACUAAGGUGUCAUAGACUUAGAAUCUGUGAUCUUUGCUUUACUUCAUGUUCCUUGUUUGGUUGUGGAUUUAGAGUUAGGGUCAUUUAUUCGAAGGUCUAUCCUGUUUUGAUUACAUAUAACUGGUAUGCACUACGCGAGUGUUGAAGUAACUGGUAAGGAUCAUCUUAUAAUUAUCUUAAGUAGUAUGUCUAUUUAUAUAAGAUUCUUAUACCCUUUUUUCUCGCGUAGAUAUCAUGGUUGGAUUCCAUCUCCCUGGCGACCCAUACUUCCCAAAUCAAGGAAAUGCUGGUUGGCUCGACGCCGAACCAGAAGAAGUACCUGCGAUAUCAAUAAUCUACCUUAGGUGGCUCCGAUCCUAAAUCCAAACCCUCGUCCAACAUUUCAAGGCCCGACACCCCUGUAGGCAACAAACUUGAACCGAUGGAGUCACGAGCAGGGUCAAUCCUUACCCUACAAUGGGGAUCGAAACUUCUACAAUCUUAGUGAGGGGGGCUCAGCAGACAGAGUCUUGCCUAUCCUGGUUCGUAGGAUUACAAGAAUUGAUGAUCAGGGAAGGGCAACCGUCAAUCGAGUCAUGGAGGUUGAUGUCGAUGCGGGAGUCAAUACAGUUCGCAUCCAUCAUCUAGAAACUGCUCAUGGAAGGACCCUGAACCAGAAUGUUGUCCUGCAAAGAGAAUUUACUGAGUCCCAAUAUGAAUUCAGGAGACUUUGAGCUUGUCAGGCAACGUUUGAAAGUCGCAUGCUAGACAUGGAGCGCCGUCUGGCAUAAUCACGGGCUCAUUCGAGCGGUUCUCGUCGUAGAUAGAGCCUGCUCUACUCUCUCUUUUGGAUAUAACUUAGUAUAUGUAAAAGCUCUAGUUUUAAAUUCUUGUCUAUGAUCAUACUCUAAACUUGUUAAUCUAUUAAGGUCUUGGUGCUGUCAAAAUUUUCUUAUGUUGGUUUGAUGUAAGACCUACUUCUAGGUCUUUUUCCCGAACUUAUUACAUCAUUAAUGCCAAUAUUAUUGACAGUUAUCUAACCUGUUAUAAAAUCUUUGUCCAAAUGUUUUCACACUCCUACUGUUAUAUCUCUAUUUCAAUCAUGCACUCAUUUAAUUGUUGAACUAUGGUGAUUUAGUCCAUGGAUCACUAUCAUUAUACUUACAAUCGAUUCUUACUAUUAUCUUCAUCUUUGUAAACUUUUAGUUAAAAGAUGCCUCUGUGUCGAUCAUCGAGACACAAUCCUCUGAUAACUCCAACUCAACCACCACCACCGCCUCCUCUAUAAUACAAUCUUGCAGCUCUCCAAGUUGCGGUAUCUGCGGCUGUUGCGAGAUCCUUAGCUCAAUUCAGUACGAUCGAUACUAGCAGAGGUGGAACAACGGUACAUUCUAAUCAAGGUGAUGUCCCAAUGCACUCUAGGGAGUUCUCAUACAAUGACUUCGCCAACUGCAAGCCCAUAUCCUUUAACGGAACUGGUGGAAUCAUUUCCCUCUCGCAAUGGUUCGAGAAAAAGGAGUCGAUCUUCGAGAUUUGCUCCUGUCCAGAAGGAAGCAAAGUAAAAAAUUUUGUCUGCACCUUCCCUCACAUGGUGGAAUAGCCAUAUCAAGUAGCUUACUCUGAUAGUGGCUAAUGUUAUGGGUUGGGAAGCUCUGAAGGAGCUCAUGAUUGAAAAAUAUUGCCCAAGGGGGGAGGUUCAGAAACUUGAACAGGAACUCUGGAGCCUAAACAUAAAGGGCUCUGAUAUAGUGGCUUAUAUUGUCAGAUUCAGUGAUCUGGUGGCAUUAUGUCCAAGAAUGGUCCCUACUGAAGGGAAGAAGAUAGUGAGGUAUAUAUGGGGGCUAGUGCCACCAUACCAAGGGAAUGUCUUGGCUUCAAACCCCGCUACUUUCGACAGUGCCAAGCGGUUGGCACAAUGGCUCAUUGAUCAUGGAGUCUGCACACCAACAACAACAACCAUCACUGUACCCGAACCAUCCAAAGCCACAGACAACAAGCGGAAGGUCUGGGGUAACAAGAAGGAAAAAGCAGCGCAGAAAUAUACGAAAAAGUAGCAGGUCGUGGUUGUUCAUGCUGCGAUAGCACCUACUGCUACUGCGCCAACGAAGUAUGCUAGAAGGUUGCCCAAGUGCGACAAGUGAAACUUCCACCAUAAUGGACCCUGCCGGGAGAGGCAGUGCGCUAACUGCAACAGGAAAAGGCGCACUACCCAUUUCUGCAAAGCUCCGACAAGGCCAAUCAACCAAGUCCCUGACAUUGGCAUGGGCCAAGCUUGCUACGGCUAUGGCGUGGUGGGUCACUACAAAAGUAACUGCCCGAAGGCAGGGAACGCGGGGGGAUUGGGAAGAGUUUUGGCUAUAGGCCACGAGGAAGCGACAGCCGACCCUACUGUGGUCAAUGGUACAUUUCUCCUCGAUAACUCUUAUGCAUGCAUACUGUUUGAUCGUGAAGCAAAAAAGUGUUUCGUGAACCAGAAAUUUGCUCACUUACUUAAACAAAAACCACGCGCACUUAAAGAACAUUCAAUGUAGAAAUGGCUAACGGAAAGACUGAGAGCACUAUCAGUAUAUACAUAGGAUGUACUCUAACUCUAGAUAUCCAUUCAUUUCCAAUCAACCUCAUGUUGAUCUCAAUCAAAAGUUUCGAAGUCAUAAUCGGCAUGGAUUGGUUGAGUCUUCAUCGUGCCGACAUCAUGUGUUUUGAAAAGGCUGUUUGCCUUAAUCUGCCAUCUAGCAAAGCUAUAGUUAUCUAUGGCGACAAACCCGACACGAAUCUUCAUAUCAUCUCAAUUAUUCAAGCUCAGAAGUACUUGCGUAAGGAAUAUCAUGCAUUCCUUGUUCAUGUUGUUGAUACGAGUCAUGAGUCGAAAGACCUAAAGAACAUCCCGGUAGUACGCGACUUUCCCGACAUCUUUCCAGAAGAACUACCAGGAUUACCACCGCAACACCAAGUCGAGUUCAAAAUCGACUUAGUUCCAGGGGAUACCCUAGUAGCCAAAUCACCCUAUCGUCUAGAACCAUCUGAGAUGCAAGAACUAUCCGAUCAACUUAACGGACUGCUCAGCAAGGGCUCCAUUAGACCAAGCUUCUCACCAUAAGGAGCAUAGGUCUUAUUCAUGAAGAAGAAAGAUGGAUCAUUCUGUAUGUGCAUCGACUACGGAGAAUUGAACAAGCUAACCGUUAAGAAUCGUUACCCUCUGCCUUGCAUAGACGAUUUGUUCGACCAACUGCAAGGGGCGAAUUACUUUUCAAAGAUUGAUAUGAGAUCCGGGUAUCACCAGUUACAAGUGCUAGAGGAGAAUGUUCUGAAGACAGCCUUCUGAACUCGUUAUGGACACUACGAGUUUGUAGUGAUACCAUUCAGAUUGACUAAUGCGCCCGCAGUAUUCAUGGGUUUAAUGAAUAGGGUGUGUCAUCCUUACUUGGAUCAAUCCGUCAUUGUAUUCAUCGAUGACAUACUUAUCUUCUCUCGUAGUGAGAAGGAGCAUAGUAAACAUCUGCGACAGAUCUUAGAAACACUACGGUCAGAGAAGCUCUACACGAAGUUCUGUAAAUGUGAAUUUUGGAUCCGAAGGGUCGAAUUCUUAGGCCAUGUGGUUAGCGAAGAGGGAAUUCAUGUGGACCCUUCCAAAAUUAAAGCCAUUGAGAGCUGGUCAGCACCGAAGACGCCUACAUAAAUUCGUCAAUUUCUAGUCCUCGCUGGCUACUAUCGUAGGUUCAUACAGAACUUCUCUAGGAUCGCAAAGCCACUUACUACGUUAACCCAGAAAGGUUUGACCUUUGACUGUGAAGAGAAACAAGAAAAGGCAUUCCAAACGCUGAAACGAGCCUUAUGCACUGCACCGAUACUAUCCCUCCCAGAAAGGUUAGAAGACUUUGUAGUUUAUUGCGAUGCAUCCAACCAAGGGCUCGACUGUGUCCUUAUGCAACGAGGUAAGGUCAUCGCCUAUGCCUCAAGACAUCUGAAGAUGCAUGAAGUAAACUACGCCACACACGAUCUUGAGCUAGGAGCAAUGGUAUUUGCUCUAAAGAUCUGGAGACACUACCUGUAUGGUACGAAAAGCACUAUCUUUACAGACCACAAGAGCCUUCAACAUAUAUUCAACCAGAAGGAACUCAAUAUGAGACAAUGAUAGUGGGUCGAGCUACUCAAUGACUAUGAAUGCGAAAUUCGUUAUCAUCCCGGUAAAGCCAACGUAGUAGUUGACGCCCUAAUUCAGAAAUAAUACUCUGGCCGUAGAGUCAAAUCAUUGACUAUGACUAUCCAUUCGCAUUUGUCCACGCAUAUCAAGGAGGCUCAAUUAGAAGCCUUGAAACAUGAAAAUGUGGCAGGUGAAUCCCUGAGAAGUAUGGAUAAAAACUUGGAAGUCAAGGGUGGCGGAGCCUUAUAUCUCAUGGACCGGAUCUGGACACCGAAACACGGUGGCUUCAGAGACUUGGUCAUGACCGAAGCGCACAACAAUCGAUAUUCCGUCCACCCAUGUUCAGAUAAGAUGUAUCUGGAUCUUAAUAAGUUAUACUGGUGGCAUAACAUGAAAGCAGAGAUUGCUAUCUUCGUGAGUAAAUGCCUUACUUGCACCAAUGUUAAGGUCGAAUACCAGAAACCCUCAGGUUUACUACAGCAACCGAAGAUACCAAAGUGGAAGUAGGAGCGAAUCACAAUGGACUUCAUAACCAAGUUGCCCAAAAUAACGGGUGGUCUCGAUACCAUUUGGGUGAUCGUUGAGAGGUUAACAAGGUCCGCACAUUUCCUGCCCAUCAAAGAUACUGACAAGAUGGAAAAGCUAACGAGAACAUACAUUAGGGAGAUCGUACGAUGGCAUGGUGUUCCUAUAUCUAUUAUCUCCAAUAGAGAUGGUAGAUUCACUUCAAGGUUCUGGCAGUCGCUACAGAGUUCCCUAGGAACUAGGUUGGACAUGAGUACAACCUACCAUCCGCAAACCAACAGACAAAGUGAGAGAACUAUUCAAACCUUGGAAGAUAUGUUGCGAGCCUGUGUGAUCGACUUUGGGAAGGCAUGGGAUACUCAUUUACCCCUUGUCGAGUUUUCCUACAACCAAAAUUAUCACACGAGCAUAAAGGCUACUCCAUUCGAAGUCCUCUAUGGCCGAAAGUGUAAAUCCCCUCUGUGCUGGGUUGAGGUGGGUGACACACAGUUAGCUAAAGGACGAGUUCCUGACAACACUCUCACGGGUCUGAAAAUUAUACGGGAAACGACAGAGAAGAUCAUUCAAAUUCAUGAAUGAUUGAAAGCCUCUAGAGACUGAUAGAAAAGCUACGCAGACAAGAGAAGGAAACCUUUGGAAUUUCUGGUGGGAGACCGCGUGCUAUUGAAAGUCUCACCCUGGAAGGGAUUGAUAUGCUUCAGAAAUCAUGGAAAGCUAAAUCCAAGAUACAUAGGGCCUUUCAAUAUUAUCUCUAGAAUUUGUCUUGUAGCUUACAAACUCAAACUACCUCGCGGACUUAGUAACGUACAUUCUACUUUCCACGUCUCGAACUUAAACAAGUGUCUAUCUGAUGGGACUCUUGUAAUCCCCCUCGACGAGAUCGAGAUCAACGAGAGCCUCAACUUCGUGGAAGAACCAAUAGAGAUCAUGGAUCGAGAGGUCGAGCAAACGAAGCAAAGUCGUAUCCCGAUAGUGAAGGUUCGCUGGAAGGCCAAGCGAGGACCAGAAUUCACUUGGGAAUGCAAGGAUCAAAUGAAACUGAAAUAUCCUCAUAUUUUCGCUUAGUUAUUUGUAACUACUUAAUUGCUUAAACUCUAAUUUCGAGACAAAAUUCUCUCUAACGGGGGGAUGAUGUGACAACCCGAUAUUUCUAUCUUGUACAACCAUUCAAGUUAAUCAAAGUCAGACUUGCUUCUGCUAUCUUUUAGCACUGUUUAGGGUCAGUUUGAGUGUUCUCAGCCUAGUACAUUCAAUGAUUGAGUGUUAGGAAGUAUCAACUGAAGUUCAAAACCACCAAGCAUGCCAUAAACUCCAUAAUGAGGAGUUUAUGGCCACAACACAUGAGUUUAUGGCCGUAAACUCAUGGCCUUAAGUAUGAUAUUCCUUCACUUUUCCUUAUUCUUCACCAUUUCAAGUCAAGAAACCCAAUUUCUCUCUCAAGUAUCAUAAGGAUCUUCAUUUUUAUCUUCAAAAAUGUAAGUGUUUCAUCCUUAGAUUAGUUGAUACAUCUCCUUAACUAGAAUCACCCUUUGAUUUAAUCCAUGAAUUUCAUCUUUUGGGUUAGAUCUUCAAGAACACCAAGAACACACACUAGUUCUUUGGGCCGAAAUCAACCCUUUUAGCUUCAAUAUCGUAAGUAUCCUUUCCAUAUACUUGUUAUCUAGUAGAAGCUCUUGAUUUGCAUCCUUGAAAACAACCAAUUCCCAAGAUCUAUGAGAGUUUAUGACCAGGAGCAUCUCCCUUGGUCGUGGACCCUUGUUAAGGCUCCUAGUUUGGCCAUAAACUCUUCUUAAGUCUAGGAAUGGGUCUAGAACACUUCCUUGAUGCUUGAAAGACCUUAAAACACCAUUUGGCACAAGAAUUCAUGAGUUUAUGGUCGUAAACACAUAGGGCCGUAAACCAUAUGGUCUUAAACACAAAGGGUCGUGAACACGUUGGCCAUAAACACCAUUGUGUGGCCAUACACCCUUUAUAUGCAAUCAUAUGUGAUUCUAACACCUUCAUUCAAGUGUUUCCUUGUCUCUAAGGUGUUUUCCCUUACAUGAUUAGUUGUAUAAUCACUAAUUAUAUACAUAUAUGUGUCAUUAUAUGCUAAAUAGGAUCUGUGUGUGCUCUAGUCUUCACUUGACACUUAGCAUCCUAUACCACUCUUUCAUCCAAACCACUCACUCCAGGUGAGCUCAUACCCCUUAAUAUACCUUUUAAAUGAUUUUAAAUGCUUUUAUAGGGGGAUACAAGUUGAACAUUAUGGUUAUUUAAUCAAUCACAUAUGAUUAAUAACCAUCAAACAUAUGGAUUUCUUAUACUUCAAGAUGUUUAUCAAACAAACUAUUUCAAAACAUUGUAUCAAACUCUUUUACAUGCUAAACUCUUUAUCAAACUCUUGUAAACUUAUAUAUUGCCAAAACCAUGUCUAUACAGAUAUAGUUAUAUAAACAAGGUUGGAAGGACUUAGGACUGAUAACUCACUUUAUUUCCUAUUCCUUGUUUGGUUGUGGACUUAGAGUACCCUGUUGUUUGUCCGAGUGUCGUUUGAAUCUUACUUAUAUAUUAUGUAUAUGUGUAUAGAUAUAAAAUCGUUUACCUCAUUUCAAUACCUUUGGGUAGCAAAGGUAUACAAACAUACGCAGUUAUUCAAACAAGAUUACUAGUAAACUAUAAUAGGUAUAGUUUAGAAGUAUACUAGUCACUAUAUCUAGUGCAAAGAAACAUAAGAGAGUCAGUUCAUACAUGAUUCAGUUCAAACAUACUAUAAUGAGAAACAGAAGAACAUACUAUAACGAGAAACAAAGAGGGACAUACUAUACACUAUACAAGAGAACAUAUAAUAUACUAGUACAGAGGGAAAAUACUAUACAAAUACAAGAAUACUAUAACACUAAUGUGAGCCACUACUUCAUGGAAUGGCAACCUACAGUCGUGUCACGUUUUGUAACUAGGGUCUCCUGGAGGGAGAGCGUGAAUUUAUGUAUAGAUCUAUACUGGACUGACCAUUCUACACCUUGCUGCUAGCUACAGUGGGACCUGCAGGUCUGCAGGUGACAAAUGUCAUACCAUUUCGACGUCUUCGUGCGUUGUGUUUUCACUAGUCGAUCAAGUAUGGUUACAAGCUCAUCACAGUAUACCUUAAUUAAUAAUUGGUUUAACAUAGUUAGUACAACAAUCAUUACUAUAUAUACAAUACUACAAUACUUCAUUAUUUUCCCAUUUGCAUUCACUUUGUGAUCUUCUCUCAUAAAUGAUAAUGUAAACUAUAUUUUGAUAAUGAUAGCUACUUGGGAAAAAUGCAUACUUUUACAAAGGAACAAACAUACAGAACAGUCGGGUCUUGGUAGAAGACUACAUUGUACUAGAAAAUAUAGGAUUUUCUAGGAUAUACAAACAUUUACUACAAACACUUACAAACAUUUACUUUAUACAUUUACAAACAUUUUCUUCAAACAUAUACAAACAAAUGGCACUAAAGUAAUUAUGAACUCACCAGCUUUAAUGCUGAUAAAAUCUUUCAAAAUAACUUGUAUUCUCAGGUCACUAGUAGACAGGUCCAGAUGACCAGAUUUUGAGAAGACGAAGCACAUUCAAGACUCGUCUUUAUUUUGAUUAUUCAUUUUUGGUGUCUUAUAUUAUUAACACAGAACACUUGUAUUGAAUUAUACUAUUAAUGCAAUGGAUGAUGUUGUUGCUUGUUUACUAUAUUGCAUUGUUAUGAUUCUAUACAUGACGUCCUCCGCCCCAUAACGUUUCCGUCGUUCCGGCUUUGGGGUGUAACACUCGUUAUGGACAUUACGAGUUCGUGAUGAUGCCGUUUGGGCUCACCAACGCGCCUAUAAUAUUUAUGGACCUGAUGAAUCGGGUUUGCAGACCGAUGUUCGAUCGCUCGGUCAUAGUAUUCAUAGACGAUAUCUUAGUAUACUCCAAGACCCGAGAGUAGCAUGAGAAGUACCUUCGGGGGUUAUUGGGAGUUUUGAGAUGGGAACAGAUUUAUGCCAAGUUCUCGAAGUGCGAGUUUUGGUUACGGGAGGUUUAGUUCCUUGGACACCUCGUUAACCAGGAGGAGAUUUUGGCCGAUCCGGCUAAAAUCAAGGCGGUUAUGUAGUGGGAGGUUCCGAAAUCUCCUUCGGAUAUCAGGAGCUUUCUAGAAUUGGCAGGGUUCUACCGGAGAUUCAUACAUGAUUUCUCCAAGAUUACAGUACCCCUCACCCGUCUGAUGAGGAAGGGGUGGAUUUAUGGUGGGCCCCCGAGCAGCAGAGGGCGUUUGAGACCCUCAUACAGCGACCAUGCGAGGCUCCAGUAUUGACUCUCCCAGAGAGAGUCGAGGAUUUUGUAGUGUUCUGUGAUGCAUCCAUCACGAGACUGGGGGUGGUCCUCAUGCAGAGAGGACGGGUGAUAGCCUAUGCAUCGCGGCAGCUGAAGCCGCAUGAGACGAGAUACCCUACUCAUGAUAUGUAGUUGGGAGCGAUGGUAUUCACUCUCAAGAUUUGGAGACAUUAACACUAUGGGGUCUGUUGUACCAUAUACACGGAUCACAAGAGCCCGAGACACAUCAUGGAUCAAAAGAACCUGAACAUGAGGCAGCGCAGGUGGCUAGAUGUAGUUAAGGACUAACUGUGAGAUCCUUUACCACCCAGGUAAAGCGAAUGUGGUGGCGGACGCUCUGAGCCACAAGUAAGUUGGAUCUUCCACACCAGCGACAUGUAUGAGGAUUGAAGGGUUUUGAGCAUUCUACCACACCUAAGGUGUACAUGCAACCCUAGAAACCUUGGAUCUAUGUUUGACUAAGACACAUGCAAAAUUGAUUUUCCAAGAUUCAUAACCUGUCUAGCAUACAUGGGGAACAUUUAAACAUAAAAGUUAGUAAGAAAACAUACCUUGUAGUACUUUGGAUUCCUUGAGAACCUUGUGAGCCUAGCAUCUCAAGUGUGAUGCCUCAAAUGUCUCACACAACACCAAAAGCACUUGGAAUAAACUUGAGAGAAAUAUCACACUACUUGAAAUCAGCUAGCCCUCUUCUUUCUUACUUAAGUACCGAUUUUGGUGAACAUAAGGAUCCUUAUAUAGUGUGUUACAAUUAGGGUUAUACCAUGUAAACCUUAAUUGUCAUGACUUUUCAUUUCCAUCACCCAUGGGUUCUAGAAACACCAUGGAGCAUCCUAUGGAUUUUAGCCCAACUGGAUAAUCCAUGAAGCAUUAGCCCACUAUAUAAGUAUGGAUGAUUUACACAAUCAACCCAUAUAUUUAAUUAGUCUCUAUUUGAUCACUUAAUUAAUUCCAAAUUAAUUCUUGAUCAAUACUAAUUAAAUAAUAUUAUUAAUAUAUUAGAACUUAUAAUAUAUUAAUAAACCAUAAGUGUUAUUUCUCUCAUUUUAGUCUAUCCAAACGCAUGAUGCCAUGCAACCCAAAUGGACCAUGCCAAACCGGGUCAAGUACAUACCAUAAAUAGUUAUGGACUUAGACACCUUACCCAACAGUCUCCCACUUGGAUAAUAACUAUAAUUACACGUAUGACUUGAGGAACCGAUCAGCAAUCGUAGCACUUUCAAGGUCUCUCGAAACUGAGAUGAUGAUGAUACACCAUUUAAGAUAAGUGAUCACAUAGUCCUCUGUUCUAGAUAUCAGCCGAACAAAUACAUGGAACAAUGUCUUACUUAUUGUCCAACAGGUUGUUUCCCGAUUUCCAAUUUGUUUGACAAAGAACUUAAUCGAACACAUCAAUUUAGUUCUGACCGGGCCCGGUACACAGGUCAAAACAAAAUCAUCGAGGGGCCCAUAUAUCACUUCUAAUCCAAGAAGGAACAGAUAAACUUCGACUCGUAUGCUUGUUCUACUACUUGUUAAAUCACACACUAAAGCACGUUUUAUAGCAUCGAGUUACCAAUACGUUUUCGUACAAUCAAUGCAUAACCAACUCAUAGGCAACAACUCAUAUCUCUAGGUUUGAAGACUUAUAUGAUAUUACUGUCUCACGAUCACUCGAGAUAAAUUCCAUGAAGUGAUACCAGUAAGCAUGGGUUGAGUCCAAUACUCAGAACUUAUGAGUACUCAUGAAGUGUUGUAGCGCCACUUUGCUAUGUCCAACAACUUAGACAUCUACAAGCCAACCUCAUAACAGUCCUGAUUCAUAUCUACUUCCGACAUAUGACCGACUGUAGAGAAUUUGAAUAAUAUGUAAUACAUAAAUAUUCUGGAAUUUAAAAAAGGCAAAAGAAAUAAUAGUAAACGGUUGACAAAGGAUAUCAAGACUUUAAUCAUAAAUAAACACACCUUUUAUUCAUCAUCAAAUGUCAAUUACACUUUACAAAUUUCAGAGCUAUCUAACUACUAAAACUAAAAUCAUCCUUCAGCCCUAUGCGCCCCGCAUGCUGGAGAAGCUUAACCCUACCCACUCCCUUCGUGAGGGGAUCUGCUGGAUUCUCAUCCGAUGAUACCCUCUUUGCCACAAGGAGUCCUUCUUUCGAUAUCUGAUGAAAUGGUAUUUUCUGUCGAUGUGUCUGGAUCUCCCGUGAUCCCUUGGUUCCUUGGCUAAGGCAACUGCACUUUCACUAUCAUAGAAAAUUUCCAUGGGCUCCUUUAUAGUUGGUACUACUCCAAGGUCUCCAAUGAAGUUCUUCAGCCAUAUCGCCUCCUUUGCUGCCUUGCUUGUUGCUAUAUACUCUGAUUCACAAGUUGAAUCAGCCACUGUCUCCUGCUUGGAAUUUUUCCAAGUAAUUGCUCCUCCGUUUAAGGUAAAGAUCCAGCCCGACUGAGAGCGGAAAUUACACCUAUCAGUCUGGAAGAUAGCAUCACUAUACCCUACAACUCUCAAGUCAUCACUCCCACCGAGGGUAAGGACCCAGUCCUUAGUCCUCCGCAGGUACUUGAGAAUAUUCUUUACCGCAAUCCAAUGAGCAUUGCCAGGGUUUCCCUGAUAUCUACUGACCAUGCUCAAUGCAAAGGCCACAUCAGUACGAGUACAAGUCAUAGCAUACAUGAUCGAGCCUACAACGAAAGCAUAAGGUACUCGACUCAUUUCUGCUACCUCAGCCUCGGUACUCGGGCUCUGAGUCUUACUCAAUAUGGCGUUACUCUUGAUAGGUAACUCUCCUUUCUUGGAAUCCUGCAUGCUGAACCUAUUCAGUACCUUAUCCAUGUAGGUACUCUAACUAAGUCCAAUUAGUCUUUUACUCCAGUCUCUCAAAAUCCUUAUCCCUAGAAUAUAGGCAGCUUCUCCUAGGUCCUUCAUAGCGAAACACUUCCCAAGCCAAGACUUCACUUCCUGCAAGGUUGGGAUGUCAUUUCCUAUGGGUAGUAUGUCAUCUACAUACAAUACCAAAAAGCUAAAUAUACUCCCACUAGCCUUGACAUAUACACAAGAUUCAUCUUCACUCCUCGAAAAGCCAAACUCUUUGACUUUCUCAUCGAGACAAAGAUUUCAUUUGCAAGGUGCUUGUUUCAAUCCAUAGAUGGAUUUCUCAAGCUUACACACUCUAUUAGGGUACUCUGUACUGACAAAACCCUUUAGCUGAUUCAUGUAAACAUCCUCAGCCAACUUUCCAUUAAGGAAAGCAGUUUUGACAUCCAUUUGCCAUAUUUCAUAGUCAUGAAAUGCAGCAAUGGCUAACGUAACCCUAAUAGACUUAAUCUUUGCUACCGGUGAAAAAGUUUCAUCAUAAUCAACUCCCAGAUUUUGAGAAUAGCCCUUCGCAACUUGUCGCCUUAUAAGUGUGUACAUUACCAUCCAUGUCAGUCUUCUUCUUGAAGAUCCAUUUGCACGCAACUAUCUUACGACCUGGUACAUUGUCAACCAAGUUCCAAACUUGAUUCUCAUACAUGGAUUGUAUCUCGCUGUCCAUUGCCUCUUUCCAUUUAGCAGACUCGGGGCCUACCAUAGAUUCCGCAUAGUUGUUAGGUUCAUCCAGACUUACCAGUGUCUCAUCACUGAUAACUGUAUCACCUUCUGCGGUAAUAUGGAAACCAUAGUAGUGCUCAGGUGCAUUCCUAACCCUUAUGGAACGCCUCAGAGGUACAUAUUCGUCAAUUGGGUCAACAAGAGUUUCCUCCUUAGGUUGACUACUAGGGUUUGAGGUUCCUUCACCACUUGACUCUAGAAUUUCUUCAAGGUCAAUCUGCCUCCCACUGUUUCCUUGGCUUGUGAACUCUCUUUCUCGAAAGACACCCCUUCUUGCUACAAAGACCACAUUCUCACUGGGUCUGUAGAAAAAGGUAACCAAAGGAUUUCUGUGGGUAGCCGAUGAAAAUACUCCUCUCACUUCGAGGUUUGAGUUUAUCGUGAGUCUUGCGUCUCACGAACGCCUCGCAACCCCAAAUCUUGAUGUUGGCUAGAUUAGGAACUUUUCCAGUCCACAUCUCGUGAGGUGUUUUGUCAACCUUUUUUGUUGGGACUAGAUUAAGGAUAUGGGCAACAUUCUCUAAGGCAUACCCCAGAAUGAGAUUGGUAGAGAAGCUUGACUCAUCAUGGAACGAACCAUAUCCAACAAGGUUUGAUUUCGCCUUUCAGCCACACCAUUCAACUGUGGUGUCCUGGGAGGUGUCAAUUGUGAGACAAUCCCACAUUCCUUAAGAUAGUCGAGGAACUUUGUACUAAGAUACUCACCACCACGAUCGGAUUGAAGCAUCUUAAUGUUCCUGCCCAAUUGAUUAUCGACUUCUUUUUUAAACUCUUUAAGCCUUUCAAAAGUCUCUGACUUAUGCUUAUACUAUAAUCAUCUGUAAAAGUCACAUAAUAACGAUUAACAUCCCUUGUGGCAGUUUUGAAGGGUCCACACACAUCUGUGUGCACUAGAUCCAACAAACCUUCACCCCUUGCACAAGAACCAGUAAAGGAUGACUUUGUCAUUUUUCCAAGUAAGCAUGAUUCACAACUAUCAUUUGACUUUAUGUCAAAUGACUCCAAGACUCUAUCCUUUUGGAGUUGGCCUAUGCGUUUCUUGCUUACAUGUCCAAGACGACAAGGUCAUAAUGAUGAUUUAUCCAAGUUAUUAUUAGAAGAAGAAUCAAUACACAACACAUUAUUUCCUAGGUUAUCUACAACAGACACAACUUCAUACACAUAAUCACAAGGUAAUGCUUUAAAAUAAAGAACAUUAUUAAAGAAAAUAUUUAUUCCACCAACUUCAUUAUCAAAAGAAAAUAUAAACCCUUGUUUGUACAAGGCAUGAAAGGAAAUAAUAUUUCUUGCCAUUCCAUUAGAUUAACAACAUUUAUUCAAAUCUAAUGUAAACCCACCGUAACGCCCGCAGAUCCGGGCUAGUCAAUUUAGAGGCAAUAGGGGUCGAAAACGACUUUUAGACAAAAGAUUAUUUAGAAUAAAUAAUCUUAACCAAGUUUUAGGAUAUGUCACAAGGUUUCCGUACAUAUAAAGAACGCCGAAAUCUGAGUUAUAACAAAGAAGUUAUGACCCGUCAAAGUUUUGCGACGGAACCGACACGACACCGGGAAACGUAAAUAGUGAAUUUACGGUAGAGCGAGUUUUAGCCUUAGCAAUCUAAACGAAAGUCGUAGAAUAUGUUAAACUGAAAGAGUCCAUAAAAAGAACGCCCAAAUCUGACUUCAUAUGAGGAAGUUAUGAUUUUUCGAAGUUUUGGCUUAACGGUGUACAACUCGAAAUUUGAAUAUUGGAUCGAGCAGUCUUUAGCCGACACAACCUAAACGAGAAUCCAAGAUCUUGUUAUUUGUAGCGUAUCGAUAAAAAGACAGACGAAAACGGACGUCGGAUGAAGAAGUUAUGAAUUUUUAACGGACCAAUCGUGUCCUGGUCUGUUAAUAAUAUAACUUUUAAAAUAAAGUCAAAAUUAGCCGAUGGAGUCUAAACGAAAGUUGUAUAGUACGUUCCCCCCUACAAGUGGAUAUAAACGUCGAAAACGGAGCUCGUAUGCGAAAGUUAUGAUUUUUAGAAGUCGGAAAGUGAAUUUGCGAAAUCUGCAAGGAAGUGGUGACGUGGCCAAAUCCCAGCCGUUGCUUGUUGAGCACGGCCUUGCAUCUGAUGAUCGCCACGGAGUCUCGUAUUAUGCCCCGCGUCCGAAGCUGGGUACGCCCGGCGUACUUGAUCUUGUCCGGGUCUGAGNAGUGGAUGCGAGCCAGCUGGUGCGAGCUGGCAUCCUUAUCUGAGGAACGCCCAGCAUAGCCAAGGACUACGCCCAGCGUAAUCCGAGGCCUCGCUGGGUAUAAAAGGGGGGCGAAGGUUCCAACUUUUUCUCACAUUUCUCACUUCUCUCUCUAGUUUCUUUCUCUCUCUGAAGCCCCAAGGCUCCCGGAGUCCCAAGAAAAAAGGGUCUUUCGGUUUCGGAAACGCUGCUCCAAGCAAAACCUGGUUUUCUUUAAAAUCCGUUGUAAGUGAGCUAUGCUUAUGCAAUUUUUAAUAUAGCUUUCAAAUAAUUAUAGUAAUGUUAUUAGGUCCUUAAAAUAAUUAUUUGGGUUAUUAUUAUGAGUUAUAGUGAGUGUUAUUUAACGCUUAUAUAAUAGCAAUAAUAGUCAGACUAUUAAUUUGUCGCGGUUAUCAUUAGACUAAACUCUAGUGAUAAUGAUACUAGGUUUUAUCGAAGGAAAAUUGUUUUAAGGGUAUCGAAGCGCUAUCUGAGUACCGAGUCACCACCGUAUCAGGUGAGUGCAUGGCCAUUUUCAUCUUACACAUAGAUAUGAAGUAUUUUAUAUAAAUUACGUGUUAUGUGUGCAUAUUAUCUGAAUACUUGUUGUCUAUGUUGGAUAAAUGAUUUUAUACAUGUUUUAAAUGAUUUAAACUGUAUAUUUAUUUUAUAUCUACAAAUAUGUUGGGAUAAAACAUAGGUAGAUGAAAUAGUUGGUGUGUGAUGAAAUAAAAUACUGAGAGACAGGUGAUGGUAGGUAGGUGAUGAUAAUUAGGUGAGGAUAGAUAGGUGAUGACGAAUCGGUGAUGUAGGAUAUUACAACCUUGUCCGACAAUUUGGAGAUGUAGUCAUCUACCAGAGUAUAGAUGGCGACCACGGACUAUUAUAGACAACCCCGUGGAAACACCAGCAGGCUCAUAACCUGUAGGUGAUGAAUUAAGAGUUCAGGCGAUGUUGUAACUACGUAUUCAUGCGAUGAUACUCUAACCCCCUUACUAUGAAUUACGAGUUCAGGCGAUGUUGUAACUACGUAUUCAUGCGAUGAUACCCAAACCCUUGGUGGGCACGUAUUAAGGGAGUAAUCCCUGAAUCAAUACUGUCCAGGCGAUGUAGGCGAUGAUCCUUAGGGAGAGUCCAUAGGAACAAACAUAUAAGGAGACGCGAUGUAAGGAGAUGAGAGGUAAAUAUGAUGUAGGAGACGACCCUUAGGAUAAAUCCUUAGGGAUAGUACUUAGGAAUAAAGAAGAUAAUGGGUAUGGGUAAUUGGGUUAAUUGUUUGAUGAUUGAACAUAAUAAUUAUAUUAUUGUGGGUUGAAAACCCUAUGUACUCACCAGGUUUCCCAACCUGACCCACUCAGUUUAUUUAUAUCACAGGUGUCGAUAUGAAGUCACAUUACACUGAGAGAUUAAAGAGAUGUAGAUCACUAGUGUAAAUAAAUGUAAGUUCNNNNNNNNNNNNNNNNNNNNNNNNAGGCUCGUUUAAGCUUGUUUAUGCUCGCGAACCCAUUAAUUGAAGCUCAGCUCAAGCUCGUUUAAUAAACGAGCCUCAUGUUUAGGCUCGAGCUCGGCUCAGGCUCGUUUAAUUCGAUCUUGAGUCGAGCUUUUAACGAGUCGAUCCCGAGUAGCUCACGAGUAGCUUGGCUCACUUACACCCCUAAUAAUGGCGAUGGGUAAUUGGGUUAAUUGUUUGAUGAUUGAACAUAAUAAUUAUAUUAUUGUGGGUUGAAAACCCUAUGUACUCACCAGGUUUCCCAACCUGACCCACUCCAGCUUAUUUAUGUCACAGGUGUUGUUAUGAAGUCACAUUACACUGAGAGAUUAAAGAGAUGUAGAUCACUAGAGUAAAUAAAAGUAAGUUCUGUUUAUGCUUAUGUUUCUGUAUUGACAAUGACAUCCCAAACGUUUUAAAAUGAAUAAAAUACGUUUCUUCGAAAAUGUUUUGAUAACGUAUUUAUCGUGUUUUUUUGGGAACAAGUUCCGCAACAUUUUUUAUGAAAAAGAAGUACUCUGAUUUUUAUAAAGCAUAAACAAAAUCGGUCUUUUCUGACCGUGAAAAUGGGGAUGUCACACCCACUACUUAGCAACAAAGAAUAAACUCCAAUCUUGGUGACAGGUGAAGCUUUCCUAUUCCCCAUGAUCAAGUUUAUCUUUCCAUUCUCCACAUUCUCAUUUUUUCUUAGUCCCAGCAAAUCAGAACAUAUGCGAAUUCCACAACCUGUAUCAAGGACCCAAGAGUUAGAAUAGGGUGAGUUAUUAGACAAUAUUGUGUAAAUACCUGCAUGGGUGGGUUUUACUUUCCCAUCCUUAAUAUAUUGUUGGUACUUUGGGCAGUUCCGCUUCCAAUGCGAUCUUUCAUGGCAAUAGAAGCAUUCAUCCUCUUUUGGGUCAGAAGAAAGAGUGAAGAAACCUUUUUUGGUUCCACUUGAAGAGGAGCCAUCAAGGGUCUUACCCUUGGAACCCUUCGAAGGGUUCUUCCUCUUUUUCCCUCUACUUUUCCCAAUUGCCAGGACAGGGGCGGAGUUUGGAGUAGGAGUAGGAGUGGUAACAACCGACUUACCUUUAAGACCAGUUUUAGCGGUCUUUAGGAGACCUUGAAGCUUGAUGAGGGUAACUUCUUCCUUGUUCAUGUGGUAUGUCAUACGGAAUUGAUCAUAACACGAGGUUAAGGAGUGUAAAAUGAUAUAUGUUGCCAACUCCUCGAGGAAGUUCAGAUUAAGUUUCAGCAACCGGUCCACAUACCUUUGCAUUUUCUGCAAGUGGCCGGUGAUGGGUUCACCAUCCUUCAUUCGGGUUGUUAUCAUGGAGUAGAUGAUGUCACACCUUUCUUGUCGAGCACUCUGAUGGUAGCGGUCCAUCAAGUCCUAGUGCAUCUUAAAAGGGUAAUUGAUAUGGGCAUAUUUAGUUAAAAAAUUCAUGCAUUAUCUUAAUACUUUAUGUUGAUUUUAUCUCAUUUAAUGAACAAAAGGUACUUAAUUAGUUUAUAAUUUCAUUUUUCAGCAAAAAUUACAUGCUCGGACGGAAAAGGAAGCGGAAUUGGCGAUUGGACGCUUGGAUCUUGGAUUUUGAAGAAAGAAGGAUGUUGCUGGACAGCUUGACCCCUCGUCAGUGUUUUGGCCAUAUCUUAUGAACCGUAACCCCGAUUGACGAGAUUCGAAAUGUUCUGAAAGGUAGACACAAUUUCGGACGACUUUCGUGUUUCGAGGAAAUGCUGAUCCGAAACGUACUCAGCGAGUAGGGUCGAUUAAUCGGCGAGUUGUAUCGAACUUUCGCGAUUCUGGACGCGCUGACUUGCCGUACACGGGUUUUAAGUGAUGUACUCGGCGAGUAGGUCACUGGACUCGCCAAGUAGCCUUUGUUUUGUGAAAAUCUAUAUAAAGGGACUUUCAGAUCGAUACCCUAGCAUAUAGAUGAACCCUUGGAGGCCAAUUGUCGACUAAAGGUGCUGCUGGAGCGUGGGAAGCAAGGGAAUCAACCCUACAUUCAAUUUUAAGGAGAAUCAAGUCAAAAUCAAGUUUACUCUUACCUAAUCUCUUGUUUGAACUAUGUUUUUACCAAUUGAUUUCGUUUUUGUGCUUGUUUCUGCUGUAAUCAUGAGCUAAAAACUCAUAACUUCUGUUUAGGUAGAUGAAUUUGUGAACAUGGAUUGAUUAUUUGAUUAGGAUUAAUUUUAAUUGGUGAUUAUGUUUUAUUAAGCUUGUUAAAGAACCUUAUGUGUUAACAAUAACUAUUCUUCUGUUAAUAAAUCAGUAAUUAAGUUGUAUAAACAUCUCUUAGUUGCUAAUUUCAUAUGAUUUAUGUGACCACAUAGUUGUAUGUCUAGGAAUAACGAAUGUGAAACUAGAAUUAACUUGAAGAUAGGUAAGUUAAUGUGUGAGCUUGUGUGAUACACCAUCAACAAGAGGUUAAUUGAAUCACCAAUUUGAUUAGCUGAUUACAAGUCUUUCUAAACCCGAAUCAACAAACUAGGAAAUUCAUUAAUUUAGACAACUGGCCAUUGUUUGAAUUAAUCUGUUUUCUAAGGAUUAGCUAUAGCAAAUGUGAAUCUAAUCACUUUAGUCGGUAACCAAUGAAGAAUUAAUCCGAUAUAUUUACCAUAAAAUCAUCCAUGGGAACAAAUGAUUCGAACCUAAACAGAAGGCCUUUUUAAUCAUUGAAUUUAGUUGAUCUUUGUUUUCUUAGCUAUUAGUUGCUUAGUUUGCGUGUUAGUAAAGUAUUUAAGUUUCUAGUCUUGCAAAACUAGAGAAAACUCUUUUUUACUUGUUUUAUUUAGAUAAUAUUAGCAUUUAUUUUAAUUGUUUACCGUUCCCUGUGUUCGAUACCCUACUUGCUUGAACUAUAUUACUAAUCGAUAGGUACACUGCCUUUCGUGUGUUUAUUUUGUGUCUAAGUUAGUAGAAUUUAAAACUAGUUUGUUUCACACACAUCAGUAAUAGUCCUCAUAGGACUUUUGGAGUUCAUUUUUCAUAGUAGCGAUCAUGAUACAUGCCACUUUGGUGGCAUCUCUUUCAUGAGCGCGGAAGUCAGCGAUCUCCUAAGGGGUAGCAGUGGACUCAUCAAUUUCCUUUAGCUCCUUAUCAAGGACAUAUUCCUUGUCUUCGUAGCGAGUGAUCAUCCCGAUGUUCCGGAUCCAAUCCAUAAAGUUGGAACCAUCAAAUAUGACUCUCCCGCAAAGGUUCAUGAGAGAGAAGGAGCCGGUAGGGUUUGAGCUAGAAGCAACAUUGUUGGAAGACAUCUGAAAAGAAUAAAAACAAGUUUAGAUUAGAUAUAAAGAUAGUCAUUAAUAAAACACCCAAAUGUAAUAUUAAGGCUAGGACCCAAUCACAAUAUAUUAUAACAUAGAAGAGGGAUGUCGUAAUCUAAGCUAUAACAUAUUUGAAAGGUAGGUGAACGACGAUUCACUAAUUUCCACCAUGAAAAAUGAAAUAUAAAUUAUUAGGUUUUAAUUGGUUUUUAGAAACUCUUAGAUUCUUUUGAGAUUCAUUGAACUUUUCAAUGGCAUGUUUCAAUCUCGAGUAUGCCCUUCAGGUUUUGUGACUGGGAUGCCGAGGAUCACAAAAUGAGAUGUGAAGUAACCAUGCAAAUUACAUGGUACCCUUAAUGUUUUUCACUCAAUCGAUGUGCCGGUUAGCCACACAUGCUCCAUCGACCUAUGAAAAACCUUAAGUCACCCUUUGCCUACCUUGUUAAGUCUAAGUUAGUGUGUUUGUUAACCACACACGCUCCACUAACGACUUAAUCAAAGUGCAAAUUGUAAUUUCAUGGGUUAGCACCUUAUUCACAUUUUCCUAAAGUAACUAAUAUUGAGAAUUUAUAAAAAUAUUUAGUUACUUUAUAAUAAUCAUUAUACUUUUAGUGAGAAUUUUUAUGUCAUUGUCCUACCCGUUCGGCUAACGACCCUCCACUAGUCAAGGAAGCGGUGGGUGAGAGUGGACACCUAUUAAGCUGUCAUUUUAUAGGCAACAACCUUNNNNNNNNAUAUAUAUAUAAUUAACUUAUAAUAUUAUAAAGUAUAAGGGUUGAAUUUUAACUUUUAAAAUUCUAGGGGUUGGAACUAAAGUUUACUAGAUGACUUUACAUGUUCCAAAACUUGAGGGCAAGUUUUGUAACUUUACAAAACUUUUCAAUUCAUAACUUAUGAGUCAAAUGGUUCAUUAAAAUGAGUGACUUUUCAUUUUAUGUAACCUAUGUGUUUAAUAAUGGACUUUAAAAGAAAAACUUUUGGUAAUCCAUAACUUGAGGACAAAUUAUGGAUUCCAUUAAAACACAUAAUAAUCAUGAAUUAAGCAUUAAAAAAUUUUAACAAGUAAUUCCUAAGAUCUAUCAAGAACUCAUAAGAACAUGAAUAUUCAUAUCAAAAUUUCAAGAACAUAUGAACACGUAUAAACAUGGAAUUUUGAUAUUAGCCAUUGUAAAUGGAUUAGAACAACCAUUACACCAUCUAAAACAAGUUUAAAACACUAAAACAGUUUAGGGUAAUGUUUCUAGUCCAUUUCCAGCAGCAAAAAUCGAAAAUCUGCACUCUGCCUGGCUGACUCGUCGAGUGCAAGAACUGACUCGCCGAGUUGGUUGCAGAUACGAUAGCAAGAAUUUAGACCUUUUCAGCUAUUUUGCAUCAAGUAUCAAAUAAACAAGUCUAGGCUCUGAUACCACUGAAGGGUUUUGAGCAUUCUAACAUACCUAAGGUGUACAUGCAACCCUAGAAACCUUGGAUCUAUGUUUGACUAAGAUAAAUGAAAAUUUGAUUUUCCAAGGCUCAUAACCUGUCUAGCAUACAUGGGGAACUUUUAAACAUAAAAGUUAGUAAGAAAACAUACCUUGUAGUACUUUGGAUUCCUUGAGAACCUUGUGAGCCUAGAACCCCAAGUAUGAUGCCUCAAAUGUCUCACACAACACCAAAUGCACUUGUAAUAAACUUGAGAGAAAUGUCACACUACUUGAAAUCAACUAGCCCUCUUCUUUCUUACUUAAGUACCGAUUUUGGUGAACAUAAGGAUCCUUAUAUAGUGUGUUACAAUUAGGGUUACACCAUGUAAACCCUAAUUGUCAUGACUUUUCAUUUCCAUGACCCAUGGGUUCUACAAACACCAUGGAGCAUCCUAUGGGUUUUAGCCCAACUUGAUAAUCCAUGAAGCAUUAGCCCACUAUAUAAGUAUGGAUGAUUUACACAAUCAACCCAUAUAUUUAAUUAGUCUCCUUUUGAUCACUUAAUUAUUUCCAAAUUAAUUCUUGAUCAAUACUAAUUAAAUAAUACUAUUAAUAUAUUAGAACUCAUAAUAUAUUAAUAAACCAUAAGUGUUAUUUCUCUCAUUUUAGUCUAUCCAAAUGCAUGAUGCCAUGCAACCCAAAUGGACCAUGCCAAACCGGGUCAAGUACAUACCAAAAAUAGUUAUGGACUUAGACACCUUACACAACAAGAAUAUCAAUGGAUUCUCCACUCGUGAGUUUGAUUAGAGAGGCUCAUGCUUAGGGUAUGUGACCGGAGAAUGGGAAAAUGAAGAGGAUCAGGGGCGAGAACGCAUGAUUUGUGCAUGAUAGUCGGGGAUUGUUGACUCGAUGCGGUCGGGUAUGGGUUCCAAUGUCUGGUGGGGUCAGACAGACAGUUAUGGAGGGGGCUCAUAAAUCUCAUUUCUCUAUUCACCCGGGAGCCACUAAGAUGUAUCAGGGUUUGUGUUUGAGCUACUGGUGGUCGUGCAUGAAGCGAGAAAUCGCUUGGUACGUCGAGAGGCGCUUGACCUCCUGGAUGGUCAAGGCAGAGCAUCAGAGGCCGCAUGGCAAGCGGUAGCCUCUAGAGAUUCCCAUGUAGAAAUGGGAACAAAUCACAAUGGACUUCAUUACUAAGUUGCUGAGGAUGGCGAAGGGAUUUGAUGCUAUAUGGGUCAUCAUGGAUCGAUUGAACAAGAGUGCCCAUUUCCUAGCCAUACGGGAGAGCUCAUCGGCCGAGAAGCUGUCUGACAUGUAUGUCCGCGAGAUUGUUGCUUUCCACGGAGUUCCGGUCUCUAUUGUUUCCGACCGUGAAGUUAGAUUCACCUCCCGCUUCUGGUAAAAGUUCCACGAGGAGCUGGGCACGCGGCUGCACUUUAGUACGGCUUUUCAUCCGCAGACCGAUGGCCAGAGUGAGCAGACCAUACAAACCCUUGAGUACAUGUUGAGGGCUUGUGUUAUCGACUUCGGUGGGAGUUGGGAUUCCCACGUACCCCUUGUAGAGUUCGCCUACAACAACAACUAUCAUUCGAGAAUUGGUGCCCCACCUUUUGAGUUGUUGUACGAAUGGAGAUGUCGCACCCCGGUCAGUUCGGGUGAGGUUCGUCACAGAGUGAUGGGGUGGAUAGAGGUAGUUUUGCAAACUACUGAGAAACUCAGUAGAUUAGACAGCGAUUGUAUACCGCUCAGAGUAGACAUAAGAGCUAUACCGACCGGCGCUGAUCAGAGUUAGAGUUUCAGGUCAGUGGCAUGGUACUCUUGAAGGUCUCGCCCUGGAAGGGUGUGAUCCGCUUCAGGAAGAGGGGGAAAUUGGGUCCCUGAUACAUCGGUCCAUUGAGGAUCAUUGCCAGGGUUGGCAAGGUGACAUAUAGACUAGAGCUACCGGAGGAGCUUAGUCAAAUCCACAACACUUUCCAUGUGUCCCAGUUGUGGAUGUGCGUAAUAGAUGAGGCAGCACUAGUGUCCUUGGAGGACAUACAGGUCGACAAGCACCUGAAUUACAUAGAGAGACCAGUGGUCAUAAUGGAGAGGAAAAUGAAGGUUUUAUGGAACAAGAAAGUACCUUUGGUAAAGGUAUAAUGGGAGCACCGAAGAGGGUCUGAGUGGACAUGGGAGCCGGAGGCUAAGAUGCGGGAGCACUAUCCGGAGUUGUUCACCGCAGCGAAGUUCGAGGACGAAGUCUAGUUCAAGUGUGGGAGAAAUGUAACACCCCGACUCUUAGGUAUUAACUUUACAGAUUUAUUUUUCAUAUUUGAAAGGUCUACUCGACAAGUUGGAUGCCCUGAAUCGUCAAGUAGGAACGUUUUUAGCCACGUGUUUAAGUGACCAACUCGACGAGUCGGGGGAAACGACUCGACGAGUUGGAGCUGGAGGAUGAAACCUUAAUUUAUGGGGUUUUGCACCCUAUUUAAAGGUCAUUAGCCUCCCUUACAGCCCCCUUUGAGCUUAGAAACCCUAAAUCGCCGUUUUUCUCUCUUUUGUGUGAUAUUAAGCCUUGAGGUGGAUUGUGGAAGGAAGAUCUUGAAGUACUCAAGCUUGGAACAAGAAGAAGGUUGUAGAUCCAAGUCCUGCUUCAUCUUAGCAUCGUUUUUGAGGUAAUAAGUUGUUAUCUUGACCUUUUUCUAUCAAGAUCUAUUCAUGUAUGAGAUUAGGGCCAUUUUAGCCAUGUUGUUAUUUUAUUUCAAGCAUUGGGUGUCAUAUGAAGUUGCAGCUUCAGAUCUAGGCUUAUCUUGGUCUCUAAGAUCAUAAAGUUUCAGCUUUUAGUGAGUUAAUACCUUUUUCAUCCCUUAGAACCUCUUAUAUACCUUGUUUUAACGAUUUGAGCCUUGCAUGUACGUAAAGUUUGCAACUUUACAUGACAAACGUGCCCUAGGAGGCUAGAUCUACUGAUUGGAGCAUUGGAGUAGCUUAGAAUCACCUGGACAUGGGAUGGACCGCACUCGAUGAGUCGGAUAAUCCAAAUCGACGAGUUGGGGAGGGUUUUCCCAUUUUUGGUUCUGAAUGGACUCACGAGUCAGCAUGACGACUCGACGAGUCAGUUAGAGUUUUCUUGAUAAUUGGACACACACAGAUUCGACGAGUUGCCUGGAAACUCGGUGAGUCAACUGGAGGUUUUCACGACUUCUUGAAUUAUGGAAGGACUCGAUGAGUCAGUGAACUGCACUCGACGAGUCGGGUCAACAUGGACUGUUGACCUUGACCAUUGACUUUGACUUUGACAAAGGGUUGACUAGUUGACUUCUGGGGGUAUUUUAGUAAAUUGGAAAUUUAUGGAAAUGGUCUUAUGGUAAAUAUAGGUGUUGGAGUCUGUGGUCGUGGUUCGAGAGUUUGAGGGCCUGGGGUAUUCCAACUCGAUGGUUGAUUGGACCCAUAGUAUGCUGUUUGUGAUUAUAUGUUAUUGUUGUAUGUAUGAGUAUUUUGGGGGAAACUCGUUAAGCUUUGGGCUUAUAGUUUCAGUUUUGUUUCAGGUACAUUAGAUGAUCGCAGGAAGACAAAUGUGUGAUUGUACAGCUCCUCACAUUUAUGACUUUGUUUCUGGGAUACUCUGAUAUUAUACUAUUUUGAAACAAGUUUUGUAAUGUUUAAACAGUUUUGAAAUGUUUUAAAAAGUUUAAAUUUGGCAUGAUUUUAUGGGUGUUACAAAUUUAAAAUCUAUGCCAAAAGUAUAAAUUUUGGAUUAAAUUUGUAAUAAAAUUUGAAAUAUAUGGCAAAUGUGUAAUUUUGAAAGUUAGAUGAUCUGUUGACCGGGUAAAAGGGUUAAAUUGAAUACGAUUACCGAUUUUUGGGAUUAAUUGAAUAAAAAAUAUAAAAUAACUAAAUCGAUUAUAAGGUCAAUAUGUAAGAAUUUUUUUUGUAGUUUUCUCUUAAAUAUAUUUUCUAUUUCGUAGAUUUUAUUUGAUGAGUUCAUAGUAUUAUAUCAAUUUCAUAAGUGAAAUCUUAGAAAUUGGUAAUUAUUUUAAGUUUUUUUUCUUAAAUUUUGAAGAAAAGCUUAGAAGAUUAGUUGUUUUUUUGUCUCUUUCUCUACAAAAAGUUAAAAGAUAUUGAUAAAUAAAUAAUAAAAGGUAAAAGAUACUUUUUCUGUCCCAAAUUAAUUAUCAAAUUUUUAUUUUUAAAGUUUUUUUUCUUCAACUUUGAACUUAAAUAUUUUUAUAUCUGUUAUAUAUUACUUGAUGAAACUUAUAACAAUGAAAAAACAUUUAAAAUAUAAUCCAUUCAUAAAUUUUACAUCAAGUAUUAUCUAUCAAAAAGAAAAAUAUUUAAGAUCAAAAUUGAAGAAUAAAAACUUGAAAAGUCAAACGUUGACAAUUAAUUUGGGACGGAGAUAGUAAAAAUUAUUUCAUAUCUAUUUAAAUUGAAAAAAAAAAACAUACCAACAUAUAGCAUGAAAUAAUAAAUGAUAUAAUUUGAACUUCUAUAAUAUAAUAGUCUCUUGAAAAAUAAUUAUUUAAAAAACUUAAAACAAAAAGCUAUUUUUAUCUUCAUAAUUUUUUCUACAUGUUUUCUUAUAAGACCCAUGUAUAAGUUAUAUUUUUACAUUUUCUUGAAAAAUCAACAAAAUCUAAAUGACCACCAAAUCAUUAUAAAAGAUGUUCUAGUAUAAAAACUUGUUAUUUAACAAGCUAUUCGAAAAGAAAUAUAUAUAUUCCAAUAGUUUUAAGUUUCAAUAAGAUUUUUAGGAUGGAAAAGCUCUAUAAAGAAAAAUCCAAUGAACUUAUAUUAUGGUAUUUUAUGAUAUGAUUUUAGAUUUUAGAAACCACACAAAGAAAUAGAGAAUGAGAUUUGUCCACAUAAAGUGAGAGAUGUAGCCAAGACAAAAGUCACAAAACUUAACAAAUUUCAUGUACCUCGACUACGUGGCGCUUUUCUGGCCACUCUUAGCAUUUGCCUAACAUACGCAUUUUUUUUCUUUACCUGUAACCUCACCAACUGUAACGACCCAUUUAAUUACCUUCAACCACAUGACUGUUUUUUCACGGAAUACAUUAGCAUAAACUCAUUAAUUUUUUUUAUCAAAAUUAUUAUUUAAUGAUAAUAACUUUAUUUUAGAUUAAAAAAAUCUAAGUAAGGGACUCACAAAUUGGUUUUAAAUAGAGUUAUUGACUUAUUUCUAUUUUGUAUACAUUUUAUAAGACAAUUAAAAUUAUAUUUCCUUCAUUAUCCACAACAAAUCUGAACCGUCCAUACUCUCAAAUCUAACGAUGGGAACCACCACCGUAUCCUAAACCAUAUCCUCAGAAAUCUUACAAAGACACCCUUCACUUCACUCCACUUCACCACCAGUCCACCACCAUGGCUUCCGUCGCUCUCAAAUCUUUCGUCGGACUCCGCCAAACAUCGCCGGAAAAUCACCAUUCAUCCAUCGCCACUCUUUCCAAGCCCAUUUCCACCAAUCAAAUCCAUUACCGUCGGCUUAAUGUUGUCGCCGGUAAGUCUAGCCCCAAAAUCACUGGCCGUAACCUUCGCGUCGCUGUCAUCGGUGGUGGACCCGCAGGAGGCGCAGCUGCUGAAACCCUUGCGAAAGGCGGAAUUGAGACGAUUCUGAUCGAACGCAAAAUGGACAACGCUAAACCAUGCGGCGGCGCAAUCCCACUCUGCAUGGUCGGAGAAUUUGACUUGCCCUUAGAUAUCAUCGACCGCCGUGUCACCAAGAUGAAGAUGAUCUCCCCGUCGAAUGUCGCCGUCGACAUCGGUCGAACCCUCAAACCUCACGAGUACAUCGGCAUGGUCCGCCGCGAAGUCCUCGACGCUUACCUCCGUGACCGCGCCGCCGCGGCUGGGGCAACAGUAAUCAACGGUCUUUUCUUCAAAAUGGACAAACCAACCGACAAAUACGCACCUUACGUCCUCCAUUACAACGCGUAUGACGGCAAAGCAGGAUCCGCCGGAAAGAGAGAGACUAUCGAGGUCGAUGCAGUAAUCGGAGCCGACGGUGCUAACUCCCGUGUCGCAAAAUCCAUCGACGCCGGUGACUACGAGUACGCCAUAGCGUUCCAAGAACGCAUCAAAAUCCCAGCCGAUAAAAUGCAAUACUACGAAGACCUCGCAGAGAUGUACGUCGGAGACGACGUUUCGCCGGAUUUCUACGGCUGGGUGUUCCCAAAAUGCGAUCACGUGGCUGUCGGAACCGGAACUGUCACUCACAAACCCGAUAUCAAAAAAUUCCAACUUGCCACGCGCCUACGUGCCCGUGACAAGAUCCUCGGCGGUAAGAUCAUCCGGGUAGAAGCUCACCCGAUCCCGGAACACCCACGGCCGCGGAGACUGGCGGAGAGAGUGGCGCUUGUAGGAGAUGCAGCAGGGUACGUCACCAAAUGUUCCGGCGAAGGCAUCUACUUCGCGGCGAAGAGCGGGCGGAUGUGCGCGGAGGCGAUUGUUGAGGGAUCGGAGAACGGGAAAAGAAUGGUGGAU